Molecule: long non-coding RNA, 64431 nt
Filed under: Jatropha curcas
Lineage: Eukaryota; Viridiplantae; Streptophyta; Magnoliopsida; Malpighiales; Euphorbiaceae
Description: long non-coding RNA (JCUR_LNC000995)
Source: RNAcentral
UGAGAAGGGAAUCUUUUCCUUCUCUUUUGUGAAUAAAAGAAAAUCGUUUCCCUUCUCAUGUAUAGGAAGGGGAAAGAUUUCACUUUACCACUGGCCCAACAGACUCUUGACAUUAGUACAUCCUGGACCAAGUCCAAACCGGAGUCAAAUGGGCCCGUAGCCUGGCAUGAUACGCAUACCGCGCACGUUAGCUAAUAAUUACUGUGGUCGUUGCAAAUUAAAUACGAUUGCGGAUUGGAAUUUACCGAAGCAGCUAAAAAUUUUUUAAAAAAAAAGGAGGAAAAGAAAAAGAAGAAAAACCUAACAACAGCUCACCGAACGAGAAACCACCGAAUUUUUGGAUAAGAAAGAGUAAAAAGAAAUUUUUUUUUUUUUUUUAAUAUUCAUCUUCUUUUUCUCACGUCUCUUUCUUUUGUAGCCAUCUCUGUUUCUCUUCUUUUCUCCUCUCUUUACGCUUUCUUUUCUUUAUUUGAAACCCUUGUAACAAUCUCGCAUCAGUUUCAGUUUGAAGAAAAAAAGGGGAAAAUUCUCAUUCGGAAUUUUGAUCUUUACCUCAAUCACGGAGCUUAGAUCUAAAUUUCUAACUUAUCAGGUAAUUUUUGUUGUCUAUAAUAUUUGGAUUACAUCUAGGGUUUUAAUUCUCUAAUCUAGUCGUUAUGCCUUUGAAUUAUGGGUGCAUGCUUUGUUUUGUCGAUAUGUUUUUGGAGGAUCUGAUAUUUGUACUGAAAUAGUAUGGCUGUUGGAUAAUUUUUUUUUUUGGGAUUUUUACGAUUGGAGUUGAUUAGAUUCUUCUAUGCUUAUUGAGGAAUUACGCUGAUUUUUUUUUUCUUUCUGGAUAGAUGGUGAAUAUGAGUGAUUGGUUUGGAAUGUGAAGAAAUGAAAAAUCCAUCUGUCUGAAUUAUUGGUGACCCAAACUUAAAGUUUGGGCUUUUCUUAUUUAAUUUGCCCGCUUUGCCGCUUCCUUGUAGGUCAACUGGCCAAUAUAGUUCCUAAUUAAUAAUGUCGCAGUUUGUGUAUCGAAAAUGAUAAAAAUUUUAUGAAUUUUUUACAAGAAAUAGACAUCUUUGAGGUUUGGCUACCCUGGAGACUAGAAAACAGCUUCACAGCAUUAUGAGCUACUACUUUCAUCUUCGUAGGACAAGUCUAAUUUACAUUUCAUUCUAUAACUUGUUGAUACUUGAUAUUUUAUUUGUUAUAUGGAUAAUGUUUCAGGAACUAUGUCUUUUGCACGGAGUUACCAUUCACAAGGUGGCACUCUCCAUGAUGAUCGUUGGCACUCUCACAAUAGAAACAACUACAAUAACAGGAACCGAAGUAUGAACACACAAAGGAACAAUAACAAUAACCAUAAUUGGAAUUAUAAUCAUUUCCAUGACAAAUUCAGAGACCAUAUUAACAACAACAACAACAACAACAACAAUAACAACAAUUACAACAACCCCUCUCAUGGUGCUCCAUCAUUGAAAAGGAGAAAAUUUAGUGCUGGUUCCUGGGGAGAUGGUGGGAGGCAUCUUGCACAGCCCAUUACAUAUGAAAGUGCAGCUGCUCCUUCAACCUACAAUAAUUCUGUGCCUCCUAUGCGGUCAAAUGCUGAGACAUCCACAUCUACAUGCUGCAAACGUGACCGCUCAAAAUUGGAAGAUGAUGAACCAGUGUUUAUGUCAAGAGAUGAGAUUGAGAGACACUCGCCAUCAAGAAAAGAUGGUAUUGAUGCACUGCGUGAAACACAUUUGCGGUAUUCUUAUUGUGCAUUCCUUCAGAACCUUGGAUUACAGCUUGAGUUGUGAGUGCUUCAUCUUGAGUGUCUUUGUUAAUUAUGUUGCUUUCUUUCUGAGUUAAAAGGAUUCCUUCACUAUUUUAACUACAGUUACUAAGGAAACAGCUGUUUAAUUGCCUUAGGUUAUUAAUUUUAUUUCCUAGAAUUUAUUUGAUUCACUAAUUAUAUGUUGAUUCUUCCAGGCCACAAACCACUAUAGGUACUGCCAUGGUUUUGUGUCAUCGGUUUUUUGUUCGAAGAUCGCAUGCUUGCUAUGACAGAUUUGUAAGUUUUCAAGUCCUUGUUUGUUCAAAUAUCAAUAGUUCAUUAGCUCUUCUUUCUUGCUUCUAAUUUAAUGUUUGGACUUUGCUAGUAUUGUGGUUCGCGUGUUUGUUCAAGAUGCAUGUGUAUCAUAUUUCAUGUUCCUGGUUACAGCAAUUGUGCUCAUCAUGAAUGGUCUGCAUUGUUGCAGUUAAUUGCUACUGCUGCUCUUUUUCUUGCUUCAAAGUCUGAGGAGACACCACGCCCUUUGAACAAUGUACUGAGAGCAUCUUGUGAGAUUUUCCACAAGCAAGACAUGACUUUUUUAUCAUGCCUGCUUCCUGUUGUAAGUUUCCAUCUUACAGGAGUUGUCAUUUCUUGCCUUUGUGCGAGUGCAUGUGUUUUUUCCUUGAUAAAAUUACUAGAGAAAGCACUAAAAAAAGCGUGCAUGCCAUUUUGAACUUUUUCAUGAAUGGAAACUCUGGGUUUUGGAAUGUGGCAAUUAAAGAAUUGCCUAUGACUUAAAAAAGGGGUUUCCUCUUGUUUUGCAAAAAAUUUCAGAUUGAGAACUAUUGUUGCUCAAAAAAAAAAAAAAAAAAAAAAAAAAAGGAAAUACAUAUGAGUUGUGCAAUUGCACUUGCAAUAGUUGUUCAAACCAUUUAAGACCCUUUCCCCCUUUUAUCACGUAUUAUCAUUGUUCAAUUUUUGAGCUGUCUUCAAAAGAUAAAGUAAAACUGCUAAGUUUCUAGUGGUGCUGACAUGAGAUGAAUUGCAUUAUACAGGAUUGGUUUGAACAGUACCGGGAGCGUGUGAUUGAGGCUGAACAAAUGAUACUGACAACUCUAAAUUUUGAACUUAACGUGCAGCAUCCAUAUGCCCCUCUUACUUCUGUCCUUGACAAAUUAGGGUUUUCCCAUACUAUUAUGGUGAAUCUGGCAUUAAACUUGGUCAGUGAAGGGUAAGCUUAUCAUUUCAUUGUUAUAUUACUUCAUUCGAUCUUAGAUUUUUUACUGGUGCUUUACAUUUGUAAUCAGUUAGUUUUAGUGACAAAACUGAACUAAUAUGCUAAGGUUCUGAUCGGAGCUUCUUUCUUCUGGAAGCAAUUUGGUUUGGUUCUGUGUGAACAUAUUUAUAUGUGGAUUUUCUGAAGAGUAAUUCAGUUUAGAUACUGUUUCGGGUUUAGGAAAUGUUGUUACAGCUAUUGUUAUGUCUCAAUGUAGAUUUCACUGGUGAGUGUUCAAUCUCAAGCUUUGAACACUUGUUGAGGUUCCGUGGUACUUGGUCCAUGGAGGAGGAUGUGCUGGGUUUCUUCUUGUACACUUUUGGUGUAAAACUGUGUAAUAGUCGUGUCAAUAAUUUUCUUCUUUCGAUCACCUACUCUAGCUGUAAUUCUGGAAUGGGAUAUUGAUUCUUUUGGAAUGCAUAUAAUUGCAGGGUAUACACAAGAUUAACGUGCUUGUUAGCCGGCGGAUUGAUAUGCUGUGCAUGGAAAGUUUUUUUUAAACCUCUGAAGUUGAACUGCUGAUAUGUGUGGGUCACAUAACUCUGGUUAUAUUCCCCAUCAACCUGGUUAUCUGCACAAAAGAUAGCCUCAGAACCUCCAAAACCAUUUUUGCAAAAAUUUUUCCCCUUUUUCCGUAAUUUUUUUUUUUUUUUGAAUGAUUCAUCUGGCCUCUGUAGACAAACUUCUAGUUUGUGAGACAUGGUUACAUGUCCCACAGGUAUCACUUCACACUGAUUGGGGGAAUUCCAUUGUCUUGGCUUAGAUCAAAGACUCUGUAGGAUCUCUUUUGCUCCCCUCAAUUAUUUUUUAGCAGACAUAUCCGUAAAGGAUCUGUGCCAGUUGUGUUUCUAACAUGUGUGUAUAAUUGUAAGUUUUAUUGUAAUACAAUUUCAGGUAUGUUUGCAGUUGCAGCUGUACUUUCAAAAUCUUUUAUAGAACAAUGCGAUUUUUUAGUCAACUUUGUUUAUCAACAGUAGUUUUAUACCAAAGGAAAUUUCAACCAUUUAUCAACAACUAUUUCAUUUGAGACAUGAUUGUCAACAGGUUGUGCAGCUGCAUAGUAUGUUUGGCAUGGAUCUGUUAUUUGGGAUGGUCCAGAUGAAAAGUUGGUCAGUAUAUGGCUAUAUGGGGAUUGGGGAUACACGUCCAUCUAUUUAUUUAAGGCCCUCAUAUGGAUGGGUUCUUUAGUUGUUCCUGCUUAUAUAUGGUACUUGUGUACCUAGAUGACUUCCUGUGGUAGUUUCUACUUCUCAAUUUUUUGUAGGGAACAAUCAUAUGGUACCAUGCCCAUUCCAUUUUGUGGACUUCCAGUACUGGAUUUGAGGGCAUAGGUGACCUAUCUUUGGUUUAAACUUUAAAAUUUUAGUUUCUACUUAAUCUUAAUUAAUAUCUAUGCACAUGUAAACAUAUCUAUAUAUAUAUAUAUUAGUUCCUUAUUUCUUAAUCUUAAUUAAUAUCUACAUCCAUAUAAACAUAUAUACUAUAUAUUAUAUACAUGAACAAAUGUUCUCCUUUUCUCUGUUAUUAAUUUGGUUUCCUUUCUUUGCUUUUUGCCAUCACUUAUUUCACCAAUUAUGAAAGUAUAUCUGUUAUAUUAUCAAAAGGGAACACCAAUUGCACCUUCUGCUUAAUUUUGUCCUCUUGAUUAAAGUACCUGCAUAAAACAGCAUUUUUUUUAAACAAAGAAUCUGCAUGAAGGAAAAACCUUCAUUGAGAUACUAGGGAAAAAUAUAUAUAUAUAUAUAUAUAUAUAUAUAUAUAUAUAUAUAUAUAUAAGUGAACUUCUAAAAGAGCAAAGCAUACAAUCUACAUUAAUGACCUAAUAAUCAUAUUGUUGGAGGUAAGCAUGUGAUAUUUUCAUUUUCUUAAACUGUGGUGUCUCUUAUAUUAUUUUUAAUUGAGCUAACCCUAGCAGUUAAGACCAUUAUUUUAUUUCUCCUUUGUUCUUUAAGAUUCAUUAAAGGGCAAAUGGAUUGGAAUUUCAUUGUGAGCUACACUACAGGGAUAGCUUUCUUCUUUUAAUAAAUCUUACCAAAUUGGUAAAAAACCGUUGAUGGGAGACUUCGACCAAAUAACUCUCACUUCUAAGGAAUGAUGAGACCAACUAGACCAUACAUAAUUGGCAUUUUCUUUCCUAUUUCCUUUUUUUUUUUUUUUUUUUUUUUGAAUCCUCAGAUUAAAGAUUUUUAGUUAAUUUUUUGAUUUCUCCUAAUUAUGCGCUCUUUUUCUAACCUCUUUUAUCUGUGUUACUUUGACAAAUUUUCCUGGUUAGUGCUUGAGGAUGGUGCAAGCCUACAAACAAGUAUUUGAAGCUUAUGUAGCAUUUGUAUUUUUUUUAUAUAGCAACUUGAUAUUAGCAAUGUUAUCUCCCCACAUCUCUCCUUCACUUAAAUUGUGUGUUUGGUUUCCCGGGUGGCACAUUUACCAGAAACCUGCUUAUUAUUGUAGGAUUUCAUGUACCUUGUAUGUGGACAAUGUGAAGUACUAAACUUUUUCUGUCUAUCCCUACCAUCCUUCGUGAUAGAAAAGGCCAUGAAAUAAUAAUAAAAAAUAUGGAGAAAACAAACAUAUUUGAUUAAUGGUCACAUAAUAACAAGAUUAGUAGGUGAUCUCUUUUUCUUUUUUUGCCAGUUGCAUUAUGUUGCUAUUAUAUCAUGGAUGUUUCUUUUGUGUUAGUUCAGUUUCUCAACCUAUUGCUUUCAUAAGUUUAUUGUGCCUUUGCUUUUUUUCAUCUUGCAAGUUGUCUAAGAAAUUGCUCUACAAUUUAUCCUACUUGAGAUACAAUCUUAUUGCAUGUGUAUUCAUUACCAGAAUCACUUUAUUCUUUUAGCUAUGAGUUAUAGCUUUGAAAUAACACUGUAUGACUUCAUUCUCAUAUUUCAGCCGAAGCUUAGAACUCGCUUGUUAUCAUUGGUGGUUGGGUGUGUGUGUGUUAUUCUAGCUUCAGGAUGUGUAUCAAAUAUACCUCAUCUUUUUAGUCUUGUGAAUAUACAUGUUACUUGUAGCUUUUUCUUGCACCUGCUAGAGGAUUUGGGAUGGUGGUAUCCUAUAAUUGGGGUUUGAUGGUUGCUUCAUGAGCAUUUAUGCAUGUGUUUUUGACGGGCCUUUCCACGAUCAAGUUGUUGGGCGGAAGAUGCAGAUGACUGGUCUAAGCAGUUAAUUGUUUGAAACGUCCACUUAGUUUCUGUUUGUUUCUUACUAGAAUUGUGUAUGUCUGUGGAGUUAAAAAGCCCCUGCAGCAGAAUUGGGCCUGGGAGUAGAUGUGUUUGUAGAUGAGUGUAACUUGUUUGUUAUAGUUUGCUACUCUAUCAGCUAUCCUGCACAGAUUCUUGCAAACUAUUCUUCCUGGGUUGCUGCAUUUUUGGUUGGUAAGAGAAAUGACUUGCUUUACUUUCUAACUUUGAAUCUAAUGCUUGGUUUUAUUGUUGUAUAUUUAUCUCUUUUACUCUUACCGCUGGUGUGACUUCUGUCAAUGUCGGAAUAUAUGUUAAGUUGAAGAUAUUGCCUGUUCAUAUUAAUUUCGCCAAUCUGGUUGGUUUCAGUAUUAUGCAUCUAUCAUUUGCUUAACAAUGGUGAUUUUGGCACAGAACUUAAAAGUAUUCUUUUUGUUUUGUAGGCUUCGGAGCUCACUGUGGCUUCAGUUUAAACCUCAUCAUAUAGCUGCUGGUGCUGCCUACCUUGCUGCCAGGUUUCUGAAUUUGGAUCUGGCUUCCUACCAAAAUAUGUGGCAGGAGUUUCAAACAACACCAGCCAUUAUCCAAGGUAUCUAUGCAUACUUUUCAUUAACAGAAUCAAUCAAUCGAUCAGUCAGGAUUGCUGAAACACCCUUCGUCUUUGAAAGACAAAAGUCAUGUAUUGGUUUAAAAAAAUUGGACAUCAUUUGGCUUUUGCAGUUAAUUUUUUGUUUCAGGUUUCUUUUAGGUUAUGGAAAUUAUAUAUUAGGUUUGACCAAUGAUUAUUUUUGCUAAUUCCUCAAUAUUAUGUGACUGCGUGAUGCAGAUGUGGCCCAGCAGUUGAUGGAGCUCUUCUAAUAAGACAAUACUACUUUGGAGGCUUUCGGGUUGAUGAUACAGUCCAUGUCUUGUUGGUAAAUAUUCAAAUCAGGAUAUACGUGUUUUCAUAUUGUAGCAAAGAUAAUUGACGGUAUUUUCUAAUGUGAAAAUGCUCGAGUGAGAGAGAGAAGAUAUUCUAGAAUCUAUCUGAGAAGUCUAAAUUGGCUAUUGAGAAAUAUAUUGAGUGGCUAGUAAAAGUGCUGUCCGCACGGAAUAUGGCUGUGUAUAUUUUAAUUUCAUGGUGCUGUCCGUGGUUUGAAUCUGUUUACUCGUAGAUGUGGGUCGAAAUAUAUGUAUAUAUAUAUCUCUUCCUUUGCAUGAUGCGAUGAGGAUAUAAGGAAGCUCAUAUGCCUUUGCAUGGUUGGAUACAGAUUUAGGGAAGCCCUAGAUCUUAAAAUUCUUUUCCGUCUGAAUUUAGAAAGAGGAAAGACAUGCAUGAACACAAUCAGUCCCAAGUUGCACUUGGCGAUGUCUGAUCGAUUCAGUCAUAAUCUUAGUGUGGCUAUGCGCGAAAAAUGCCAAUAUAAAUCUCUCUAAUCUUUGUAAUAAUUGGAUUUCGGAUAUGUACACACACACGAAAUGUCAUUUGUUUUCCAUUUUCUUAUUUCGAUUCCUCACCACUAGGGAAAAGGGUGUGGUGUUGUAAGGAAAACCCGAUUCGAAGAGAAGAAGUGCUUCAGGCUGGUAAAGCUUUAAUUUAAUAGAUAAGAAGCAUGCUUCUAUGGCUUGAAUACUACUGAUCUUCUAAAAAAGAGAAUAAUUGGUAAUGUCUAUAUGUCAAUGGUUAUUUCUUUUUUCUUUUAUCUUUUUUGGAGUGAAAUCUUAGAAUUUUACCCCAUUUAUUGAUGGAACAAAAUGUUUGGGACGAAAGGAAGGAAAGCUGCAAGAAACAUGUUGGCAUUUUCUGCAUAAGCUUUGCGGAUUCAUGUUUUUUUUUUUUUUUUUCUUGUAAAUGACAUCAGGGAUGAAGCGUUUCAAUUGAAGUGUCUUUGGAAAAUUGAAAUAUAGGUUGAGUUUUUCUGGGAAAAAAAUAUUUUAAAAUUUUAUUUUCAAAUAAUUAAGUGAAAUUUAUAACUAAUUGAAACUGUUAAGAACGUGCAGCGUUUUAAUAAAAUUGGAAUUAUUUGAAUAUGAAAAUAUAAAAUCAAGUACGAGAAUACAUAUGUCUUUUUCAGAAUAUAAUUAAUAAAUGAAAGAAAAUUCUUAUGGAAAGAAAAUAAUACUCACUAAUAAAAAGGAGCAUGAAAAGUUACUGUCCGUGGAUAACUUAUUUUAUUUUAUUAUUUUAAUAAAGGCUCAAACGAUUAGUCUUAAGUUUAUUUGAGGAUGCAAUUUUGUUUUUUUUUUUUUUUUCUUUUUUUAACAAAGUGAUUGUACUUCAUCUCGUGAAUUUAAAAUAUGCUUCAAAUGAUUUUUUUUAAUUUAAUAAUUUUUGAAAAAUUCCAAUGUAAAAACUAAAUGGCAAUAUUGGCCACGUAUUCUUUAGAGAAAACUUACAAUAAAGGUUUCUAUUUUCUUCAAUAAAUCGUUAGAAAUCUACUCGUCGUAAAAACAUGGCUUUUACUACAGUAAAGAAUUAAUAAAUUCUGUAUUAAUAUAGAACUACAUUUGAGCGACGCAUCGUUUAUUUCAAUUUACUAUAAUAUUGGUUAUCUAUUAAAUAGGUCUUUUAUUUUUUACUAUUUCUUUUACAUUUUUUUAAAUAAUUUCUUUGUAUCUUUAAAAGCACCCAUAUAUGUCUAAAUUCAUUAUUCAUUCACACAUAUAUAUAUAUAUAUAUAUAUUAUUGCGAUUUAUAUAAAUAUUAAAAAUCAGACUAUCAAAUACCUUAAAAUUAUAUAAUCUCCCAUGAAAAUAUGUAAAAUCAAUUUCACUUUAAGGAUAGAUGAUUAAAAAAUUUAUAUUUAAAUAUCAUAGAAUAUUAUGGUUUAUAUAUAUAUAUAUAUAUAAAAUAUUUAAAAGUUAAUUGAAAUUUUAGAAUUAUGCAACUUUUCUUAAAUCUAAAGUAAAUUUGGCAUUAUAAAAAACAAAAGAAAGCAAAAUAAUUGUUGUUAAAUUUUAAUAAAUUUAUUUUAAAGUAUGAAUUAAGAUCUUGAAGUUUGACUCGUUUUCACUGUUUAAAAAGGUUUAAAUGAAAUUUUAAAUGUAAAAAUUAAUAUUUAAAUAAUUUAAAUCUAAUACAUGAUAAAAUUGUAUAUGGGUAUUGAAACUUUUAAUUUGUUUUUAUAAUUUUAUUCUUCUUAUUUUAUUAAAAAUAAUUGAUAAAGUAAAUGUCUUUUUGAAUUCAAAAAUAAUAAUAAUAAAUUAAAAAAUGUAAGUUAAUUUUUAUUUCUAAAAAAAUGAAUACAACCCGUUUUAAAAGUAAAAUGUCAUUUUAAUUUUUUUAAAUCUAUAGAUUAUAUUUAAUUGUAUUAAUCUAACGAUGAAUAAACACUUACGAUUGAUACAGGACAUCUCAAUUCUCUACACUAAUUUCACCCUAAAAAAUUAUACUAUAUUUUUUAUCAAUUUAGUUGAUAAAUAAAUUUAUAACUCUGUUUUGGAUAAAUCAUUCUCAAAUUGUUUCAGUGAGAAUUGGUGUAUCCUAUACAAAAAAACAAUUGGAGUCCACAAUCCACUAUAAGAAUUACUGUAUUUGUGUUGUAUUAUCCUCUGUAUAUAGUUAAAUUCAUACCACUCUUCAUCAUUAUCGAUCAUGAUCAAACAUUAAAAGAGAGUGAUGUUUCAUCAAAUACUCCUAUUGUUACCACUUAAUAUGGAUAAUAGAAAUUGUAUUUUUCACAGCGAAAUGUUUAAAAGCUGUCCAGUGCUUUUCAUUUUUAAAGAUCUUUCCAUCAUGUCUAACUACAAACAACAGUAUUAAACUGAGGAUACUUCUGAAUUCCGAACGAUAUAACUUGUAAGGAUCGCGUCGAUGAAUGUCUUCUCAUCUUUCGUGGCGACAAGUGAUUUGCCUUAUGCAUGGAUGCCGCGCGUACACAAGUUUUAUCCAAAAAUGGAUAUUGAGUUGGUUUUUCGCAUCAUAACGAAUGGUCAACUUAUUUCAGAGUAUUCCAUCACCAUCCUUAAAAAGCGUGCCUUCAUUUUCCUUCUCUUUUUCUUCGUUAUCUCCUAUCAUUAGCAUUUGGGAUUCCCGGAAAACAAACAGAAAACAGAUUAUUCUCUUCGAGAACUGCCGUUGUUUUUUCUGCUGCUGCUUGCAAACAUCGGGAAAGUGAGAGAUUAUGGACUCAGCUAAACGUCGUAUUGAAGCCAUUCAAGGCCAUUUUAUCGCCGCUGGUGAUUCUCCUUCUCUCCUCCAUCUCAACCCCACAGCUGACGAGUUCUUCUCUGGUAAGUCUUUCUGUUCUAGAAACAACAAUGUAUUUUAACUUUUAUGUGUCUAUUUGUGUAUACCUUUGCUUUGACAUAAAAAAACAAUCAUGUUCUGCGUUAAAAGAAAUCGUUCUUUCGUCAUUGUGGUUGCUCUUUUCGUUUAUAAUCUGCGGUUUCUGUGUGGUCGUUGUGGGUUGUGGAAAGCAGUGAUUUUUUUUGUUGUAAAAAAGCAUUCUUUACGAGUCGCUAAUCACUUAUGAUUUUUUUUUUUAUUAUUAUUAUUGGAUGGAUUAUUAAAGAUCCUCUGAUCUAAUAACAAAUAGCUCUGUUAUGAUUUCUUGACUGCUUUAGCUUUAGGAUGCAGGCAGAAAAGCCAAUCGCGUAAUCAAGUGUAUUUUCAUUUGAUCAUGUUUAUAAUCUAAUAAUCAAUGUAUUUCAGCCUGAUUGGUUCUGCGUAUCUUCUGUUUGUGUACUUUUCUUGUUUCCUGUCAUGUUUUUCUUCUGAAUAUCCUGGAUUAGUAUAAUUAAUUCUGGCAUUGCACUCUGAGCAGAGCAGGGCUAUAGUGUUGUGCUUCCAGAGAAAUUACAUGCAGGAAAAUGGAACGUAUACAGGUAGGUAUUAACAAUAAUUCCUGAAAUUUCUGGGAACACUCGUUAGGUCCUUUAAACUGUUCUUUAUUUUAUUAAUUUGUUGUGGCAGGUCUGCCCAUUCUCCAUUGAAGCUGGUGAGCAGAUUUCCAGAGCAUCCUGAUAUUGGUACAUUGCAUGAUAAUUUUGUGUAAGAAUCCUUCCUUUGCUCGAUUUAUUUAUGUUUGAAGUUCCUCAAUGUCAACUACAAUUGUUUCUGUUGUAUGUAGAGCAUUCAGUUACCUCUGUUUAGUCUUCAUACAGUAAUGGUUUCCCCCACAUUGUGACUGUAGGCGAUCAGUUGAUGCUUUUAGGGAUUACAAAUAUCUGGGUACACGAAUUCGGGUUGAUGGAACAAUUGGAGAGUAAGUCUCCUGUUAGCUAAAUGAAGUUCAUAAUUUGGUAUUAAGUUAACUUAUCCAUUUAGAUUGUAGGUAUAAAUGGAUGACAUAUGGAGAAGCAGGUACUGCACGAACGGCAAUAGGUUCUGGCCUAAUGUAUCAUGGAAUUCCAAAGGCGAGUAUCCAAACAUCAAUUAUAUGCUAAAAUAAGCUCCAUCUAACCUUGUUUUAUUUUUUCCUUUUUAUAUAUAUAUAUAUAUAUAUAAUGAUCAAACGUAGCUGUUGUUGGUUUAAUUCUUUUCUUUAUAUAUAUAUAUUUGUAUUCUACAUACAAAUAUCUGACUGGUGUUCUUAGUUGAUCCUUCGUGACUCCUGAUUAUUAUUGAAUUGAAUAUUGCAGGGAUCUUCUAUUGGACUAUACUUUAUCAACAGACCAGAAUGGCUCAUUGUUGAUCAUGCCUGCUCAGCAUACUCUCUUAUAUCAGUUCCUCUAUAUGACACUCUUGGUCUGUCGAUAGAUAAACAAGAACAUUAGUUGAUCUUUGCUUGCUUCUUUGGACCUUAAAAUCAACAGUUGUCUACUCUGCAGGUCCAGACGCUGUCAAGUUUGUUGUAAAUCAUGCUGAAGUGCAAGCUAUAUUUUGUGUCCCGCAAACUUUGACAAUAGUGAGUUAAAUCUGUACCCUUCUUAGUGGCCUUGAAGAUAUAAUAUUAUUUCUUUUCGGGGUUCUAAACUUUGUUGCAUUGAUAUAGAAUUAAAUCUGUACCCCCCAAAGUGCUGGUUGAACCUUCAUCACAAUUAUUCUUUCCAUUUCUUCCUAAUUUACACUCCUUUUUUUAGUUCUUUCCUUCUCUCUCUCUCUCUCUCUGUUUCCUCUUUUUUUUCUUCCAUUUUUUUUUUUGUGUUGGGGGGGGGGGGGGUGGGUGGUGUUUUGUUUUUUUUAAUUUANNNNNNNNNNNNNNNNNNNNNNNNNNNNNNNNNGGUGUAGUUGAGUGGGAGGGGGGGGGGGGGUUGUUCAUUGUGCAUAGUCCAAACAAAUAUAAUAAGACAUUCUUAACCUUUCAUCAAUGUGGAAUUGCCGCAGUCAUUUACAGAUUUAACAUUGCAGCUUCUUAGUAUCAUCCCUUUAAUGUAUACAUGUUAAAUUAUUGCUCGCCUUCACUACUCAUUGUUUUCCUAUUUCAUCUUUUGCAUUUUUAUAUAUUUAUGAAAGUAAAUCCUUCUGAGUUCUGAUUAUUGCUACAUGGUUGGAAUUUUGCAGUUGCUGAGCUUCUUGUCUGAAAUUUCAACUGUCCGUCUAAUUGUGGUAUGUUAAACUCAUAGAAUGGAAAUAAAUCUGAUGGGUUGUUUUCCAUAUAUAGAGCCAAGUUUGAUUUUGACUGUUCUCAUUUGUUUUUCCUGUUAAACAGGUUGUUGGAGGGAUGGAUGAUCAAAUGCCAUCUCUUCCUCCAUCAAGUAAAAUUGAGGUUCUAACAUACUCAAAACUACUUAGUCAGGUAACUAUACAUCCCUUAUCGUCACAUGACAUCCUUAAUUGUUUCCAGUGACAUGCAUGAAAUGAUACUUAUCAUUAAAUUAUAUAACCACUACUUGAAAAAUACAAGAUAUUAGAGCAUGUGAUUUCUCCUCUCUCUCUAUAUUUGCAAGAUCCCAUUCAUUGGUGUUUAAUCUUCUUUUUAGACAGCUAGUUGGCAGCUGUCUACAAUGAACAUUAACUUGUUGGGGCCCAUAAAAAAGUGCAGGAAGCUGGGCUAGGGCAAUAACUUGAUCACAUUGGGACUUGAAGCUAUUCAUGUAAAUUAUUGAUGUCUGUUAGACCACAUUCCUUGAAGCUCAAAGUAUUUAAGUAGUUUACACAUGCAUGAAUGCUUGUGGAUUUGUUCAUAUUCCUUUAUCUUGAUUUGGGUGAACUCCAAUUACCUUCGUUGUAGAUCAAGUGCCAUUUUUUGGUGUUAUUUUUCUAAAAUAAAUCAAGUUGCUUCUAAGCCUGUGAUAUUAGAGAAGCUUAGGUUUUUCAAAUUUUUUUUUUCACUUUUUAUCAUUAACAUAAUUAUUUGUCACGCGAAUGGCUUGCUUUUAGGGCCACAGUAAUCCUCACCCUUUUUCCCCACCAAAACCUGAAGAUGUUGCUACAAUUUGCUAUACAAGUGGUACUACUGGGACACCAAAGGUAUGAUUCUUCCAUAAAUUUCAACCUUUCGAUUUUGAAGCUAGAGAAGUUUUUGGAAUUGAUUUUACUGCUUAUUGCAACUAAUAUACAAUUUUAUUAUUGUUGAACUAUGCAAGGGAGUUGUAUUGACCCAUGGAAACUUGAUAGCAAAUGUUGCUGGGGCCACUAUUACUAAUAAAUAUCAUCCAUCGGAUGUGUGAGUACUAUAGCUUUGGCUAUCACAUACAUGAUAACCGCUUGGCUGAAUUACUUGUGAUUUUGCAGUUGUAUAUCAUACUUGCCUUUGGCACAUAUUUUUGAACGAGCACAUCAGAUCUUGUCAAUAUAUUACGGAGUUGCUGUUGGAUUUUACCAAGGAGUAUGUUAUUGAAUUAAAUUUUUCUCUGUUUGUUUCUUGGAUUUGUAUUGUGGUUGCUUUUUUUUUUUUUUUUUUUUUUUUUUUUAUAUAUAUGAUCAAUAUCAUGCUGCUACAUAUGCUGAUUUGCAUUCAAAUGAUGCUUGGUCAUCCCACAAUGUAUGUGCAUUUGAGUCAUAGGAAAAUCCACUUCGUCUGCUGUUGACUAUCUUCAGCAGUUAUGCACUCACUGUAGAAGUUCUUGUAUAUCCAAUGUUUUCAUACUGGAAACGUAAUCAUUCUGAUCCAAAUGAAUUCAACCAUGCAUUGUCAAUAACUGCAAAGUAGAAAACAUAGUUUUUUCAUGCAUCAAAUUUGGUUUCUAUUCCUGAGCAAUAAAUAAGGCUUCUAACCUAUGCAUGCAGGAUAAUAUGAAACUGAUGGAUGAUAUGGCUACUUUAAGACCCACUAUCUUCUGCAGUGUUCCUCGGCUGUAUAAUAGACUAUAUACUAGGUGAAUUUACUAUCCGCUGCUGCUGAAUUUUUCUAAUUUGUCGCAACUGUUGUGGUUUUGUGUUAAUUGAUUAUAUACAUUUGUUACAGUAUCACUAGUGCUGUAAAGACUUCUGGUCCAUUAAAGGAGAGGUUAUUCAAUGCUGCCUACAAUGCUAAGAAGCAAGCAAUUUUGAAUGGUAGAGAAUAGUUUAUGGGGCUUCUGUUACUUUCUACUGUGAGCUUUUCAUUUCUAGUCAAUAAUAUUUGUAUCAACAUGGUGAAAAUUUCAUUCAUCGCUAUACUAUUCUGUGAUUUCUGGCGGACGCUUUCAAAAUUCUGAUAGGUAUAAGAUUAUGUUGACCUGUAAUGAGGACAGACAUUCCAGAAUUUAUAAAUUUACAGAAAAAUCUUGUGAGGCAAAAGACAAAUUUCUCUGUCAUUUGUAUUUGAAGGUGAAUUCUGAAGGCUGAGAAUGAAGUAGUUGAUCAAUUACUGCUCUAGAAGAUUAAAUUUUUUCAUUUACACUGGAAACAAUUAAGCCAGGCAAACAUUUAAUAGGCAUGUGCAUAUGCGUCUCACUAUUGGCUGCACUAACACUUGAACUUUUUGCUGUUGGUGAGGGUUCAUAUAAACAGAUUUUAUAUCUCUAAUACCCAUGUGAAACCAAUGGGGCUUCAAUAUGUGAAUGCUUGCCCAUCAUUACCUUGUGUUGGAAAGUAAUUAACCAAAAUGGGGAUGUAAAAGAUUUGAACCUGGCUCGCUUGGUCAAGGAAAAUUCAACCUCACAAAAGAAAAAGCAAGUUCAAUCCAUAUUUACUGAUUCAGUUUUAUUUUAUGAUUUAAACUUCAAGAUAGUUGUUGGCUAAGCUAGAGCAACUUAUAACAUAAGGAUGACAUCUCUGAAAUGGUUGAUAACUCAAAAAGUUUCGCGUCAUGCUGUAUCAUAAGUAACUUCAGGUUCAGCAUCAGAAAGUGGAUUUCAAAUGUUAUAAUUUUGGAGCUUGAUAAUGAUUAUUAUCAAAUGUGAAUCUCUUGCUUGCUUCUUAGAUGCUUAAUGGUUGUACCACAUGUACAAUUUUUACAGGCAAGAGUCCAUCUCCAAUGUGGGACAGGUUGGUGUUCAAUAAGAUAAGGGAAAGACUUGGUGGGCGAAUUCGUUUCAUGCUAUCAGGUGCUUCACCCUUGUCUCCUGAUGUCUUGGAGUUCCUGAAAAUGUAAGUUGAUAGAUUUUAGCAUAUUGAAUAUUACUUGGAUGCAGUUUUAUUUUGCUUUCUGAUUUUGUGAUACUUUCUGUAUUGCUUUGCAGCUGCUUUGGUGGUCGAGUAACCGAAGGAUAUGGCAUGACUGAAACUUCUUGUGCUGUGAGUUCCAUGGAUGAGGGUGACAACCUAACCGGCCAUGUUGGCUCUCCUAAUCCGGCCUGCGGUGAGUUAUGUGGUGUUACAUACCUGUGAAGUUGUGUUUCUUGUGAAUUAAUGAUGCUGCUUUGGGAUAAGGUUAUUAUAUAAUUUAUACUUCUGUUUCAGAAAUAAAGCUCGUGGAUGUUCCAGAAAUGAACUAUACAUCUGAUGAUCAGCCUUAUGCUCGUGGUGAAAUCUGUAUAAGGGGUCCUGUUAUUUUCCAAGGCUAUCAUAAAGAUGAAGCACAAACGUACUUACCUUACCUGUCGCCUGUUCGUUUUGCUGUUGAGUUGGCCAUGCGCUGAGCAAAACUGUUUACAUAAUUAUGUUGUGCAGGAGAGAAGCAAUUGAUGAAGAUGGGUGGCUUCAUACUGGAGAUAUAGGAUUAUGGUUACCUGGAGGUCGUCUAAAGAUUAUCGAUAGGUGAAAUUUUGUCUCUAAGUAAUUGUCUUUCUUUGAAUUAAUAAUUAAUAUUGAACCAAAGGCACGCUCCCCAGAUUCCCAUAUACAUUAGCAUUGUACAUAAGAUUGCUAUUGACCUUUAACUAUUUAGAACUAGCUAGUUUAUAGAUCAUGUUGUCUUAGUUAUUUGCUAUAGUUUAAGCAUCUAACUUUUGCUUCUGGAAAAGACAAAGACUACUUGUUAUCUUAGUUUAAGAUCCAAAUAUUUUAAAAUUGAGGUAACUGUGGAAUUUUAGGCAACAUCCCAAUGGAGGGCAAAUGUCAAAGAAGCUAUAUUUAUUUAUUCAAUAAUUUUUUGGUUUGGAGUUUGGUGCUUAUGCUUUGGAGCAUAUGUGGCUUUAAAAUUUGAAUGGAAAUACUUGUAUGUUGGUUCAGGAAGAAGAACAUUUUUAAACUGGCACAGGGAGAGUACAUAGCUCCAGAGAAAAUUGAGAAUGUAUAUGCCAAAUGCAAAUUCAUUGCUCAGUGUUUUGUGUAUGGUAGGCAAAUGAAUUUUUAAUUAUGGUUCUUUUUCUUUCUCUCUGUCUUCACUUUGCCUGCUAAAUUUUUAUGUUUAUAUUUGCAGGGGACAGCCUGAACUCCUCUUUGGUAGCCAUUGUUUCAGUGGACCACGGUGCAUUGCAAGCAUGGGCAGACUCUGAAGGCAUUAAGGUAGGAACAUUAUACUUGCAAGUCAGAAUUUGUAUAUAAAAUGUUCUCUGGCAAUUUGUAUAUACUUGUAAGGCAUUAAGGCAUGUACACUAGGAACUUGCUAAUGGUUCUCUGGCAAUUUGUGUGUAGUAUGAAAAUUUGGAGCAACUAUGCAAUGAUCCAAGAGCAAGGGCCGCUGUCCUUGCAGUCAUGGAUGCUGUUGGAAGGGAAGCUCAGGUAAUGUCUUGAAGGCAAAAGAUUGUAUUCAUAGCUUUGAAUUUUCUGCUUGAGCUCUCCAUGGAUCGGACAAAUUUUCUUGCAGCUCCGAGGUUUUGAAUUUGCAAAAGCUGUGACUCUAGUGCCGGAACCAUUUACGAUAGAAAAUGAUCUUUUGACUCCGACAUUUAAGGCAAGUGUACAUCUAAGAACAUUUUAAACAUGUCAAAACUGUAGAGCGGAAAAAACAAAAAAAGCCUUGGCAGCAACUCACAGUCUUCUCUUACUUGCAGAUUAGGAGACCGCAAGCAAAAGCGUAUUUUGAGAAAGCAAUAUCACAGAUGUAUUCAGAGCUUGCGACGUCUGAUCCCUCUCCUAGAGGGAGGUUGUGAAGUUGGCAAACGAAAGCAUUGAAAAGUCGAAUCAUGCCAAUCAAUUUCAUGGCAUCGUUCGCAUGACAAUAAGUUCAAGUUCUUCAGCUUGGAUCGACAUAUAGAAGAGCUUAUAGGCUGCUGGAGAAUUCUGCAACUACUUUUUUUCCGUUUUGUUUUUGCCCCUCUCUGAAUAGAAGGGCCUAUAGCCUCUUGCACGUAUAAUUUGUUUCCAGAAAAUAAAUAGGAAAGAAGACAUCAUUAUAGGAGGAUGAUUUUGGAUGUGACAAGGCAUUGCCAUAACCAUUGACAGCCAUCUUCUGCUGCUGUUGAAACCAAUCUGUAAGUUACAUAUGGACAUCAUAUUUUACAUAUCUCAAUUUGAUUGGCAUUUUGAUAGUUUUAGGUGGACUAUUUUCCUUCCCUGUUGGAUCUUUACAAUCUACAAUAAAAGUACAAAAAAUAUUAUCUCCAUUUCUCUUUAUGGAGUCCUUUCUAAUUACUCUGUUGGGACGAUUCAUAAUGAAAUGGGCGUUUGCCUGCCUAUCUGCCAGUCUUGUGAAUGACCAAUCAUGGGUUAGAAGUAGUUAUUACUAAUUGCAAGCUUAUAAGGUUGGACUCUGUUUUAUUAUUUAACCGGUAAGACUGACAGAAUUUGUUAGAUAUAGGAACACGGUAGUAGUCGUUGCAUCGACUUUCAACCUUUCAUGAAUUUCGUAUUCAUAGUUUAAUGAGCGAUUCAAAAUUAGAGACUUAAUUUUCAAGUCAAUAUAAUUUUAAUAGUCGAAGAGCUAAAUAGUAUCAAACUAAAAAUUCAGUAUGAUUAAAUUUUUCUUACAAUUCAAUUCGACUUGGCGAAAAUAAUGUUUUUUCUCACAUAAUAUAUUUCAAACAUAGAUGACAUGGAAUUUCACAAAUAGCUAAAUGAGAAAAUACAAAAUGGAAUAAAAUUGUUACAUCUUUGAUUUUGACAGAUAGAUUAAGAAUAAGAAAGAAGCUUGGCUUUGAAGAGGAAGUAGUGUAUAAGCAAAACGACAAGACAACACUGCCACGAUACUGAUUCCCAUUUCCCAACUAAAAGUUUUUGUUUGGUGGGGGAAAAUGCAUGAAAAUGGUGGAGUCUCUGCUCAUUUCUCACUUCUCGUGGUACACAUUUCUUAUUUUCUCUGUGCUAAUACAGGCACACUUCCAUUUACGAGGUCAAAUGAUGUGAAUUAAUCUUUUUAAAAAUCAGAGUAAACUUACUAUUUAGUAUUCAAUAUUUCAGAGUUGGAAUAUUGCUGUCUAAGAAUGCCACGUGUCCAAAAAAGGGGCGAGUAUGUAUGUGCGUGUUUUAAUUAAUUAAUUCAUAUUCGUAUGACAUUUUAACGGUAGGUCCAAUUGAAAUACAUUACCUGUGUGUCGUCGAAGCAUUUAAAUCAUAUCCCAUUAUGCUUUAAUCAAACGUCCACGUCACACGCUCCAGUAACCGACAAGAUCUCACAUACGCUUCGCUGUAGAAGAACACAACCCCACGGCGCACCACUACCACUCGUAAUGGUAUUGCCGGUAAUAAUAAAAGUGAAGAGUUAAAUAUUACUAACAGAGAACGGUAAGACACAAAAGAGAGUGAGAGAAAACGUGAAGUCUACUCAGGAUUCUACGCUACUGUGACCCUUUUGUUGUCUCUCUCUCGCGCGCUUUCUCCUCUCCAACUGAUUCUUCAGUUUCAUUUCCAUCUCUUGUUUAACAGGAUUAUUUACAUUCAGAGACUUUGAAUUCUCGCGGUGCAAUCAGUUGCUUGCUGAUCUGUGUUUGGUGAUUUCCGGAUGCUGUGCAGCAUCAUUAUAUAUAUCAUAUCCGAUUUGGUGCCAAUUAGGGUUUAGGAUAGGGUUUGAUUUCGAGAGAGAGAUUGGUUGAUAAUGUUAUCGAAUCAUCUACAGGAUGGAAUCGAGACCGCUAAGCUGUUAUGGUCUCGAAUUCCAAAUUCAGAGGAUGGUGAGUUCGAGAGAGUUGGUCUCUUGAGCACAAGCGAUGGGAGACCUGUGGAGAGCCUUGAUUACGAAGUUAUUGAGAAUUAUGCGUAUCGAGAAGAACAGGUUUGUGUUUCUGCUAUUCUGCUUUUCGCGCACACGUAUGCAUUAAUCGGGACUUCGAUUCUUUUUUAGAAAAAAAAAAAAAAAUUCUCUCCUCACUUUAAUCGCUAUUCGUCCUGGUUUCUUUUUUGGGACGUGCAGGCGCAGAGAGGGAAACUUUAUGUUGGAUAUUGUGUAGCUGUGAAGUGGUUAUUUGCUUUGCUCAUUGGUAUCGGUAAGCGUUCUUAAGAUUUUGGUAUUGGAUUCAAGUUUAUAGAUCGAUCUGGAAACUUUCCCGAAUUCAUUGUUAUUACUUAUUUUGCGGUUUGGUACUUUUGUUAUCUGUUCAUCUUUUACUUAGAUAUUCAUUAAGUCUAGUUAGCUUUAUUAUGAGCUGUGCGCCUGAUGUAUUAUAUUCAUAUUUUCAAGAAGCGAAUAGAUAUAACUGAAGAAUAGCUUUGCGAAAUUUUUUUGUUACACAGUGAAUGGGGCGAUCUUUAGGAUUGCUUUUCUUAUAUAUGGUCAGGCAUAAACUUCACCAUUCGUGCUUGUAAAUUAGAAUAAAUAAUGAUAUAUUCGAGUAUGUUUUUCAUAUGCCCCUGAUGUGGUAUUGAUUAUCUGCUGAAGAUUCAACCAAUGGAGUAUGAUUUCUAUCGAGAUUUUCCCUACAAAUUUUUUUGGGGAUAAAGUUGGACGAAGUAGAAUUAUGAUGUUGUAGUUUUUAACAAUGAAUGUGAAGUUAUAGUGGAUAAAAUUCGUCUCUGUAAAUUGAUUCUUCUGGAUUUAAAUUGCUAAAUGUAAAUCAAAAUGAAGCCCAGAUGCAUAAUUUCAAUUGCUUUCACUGGAGAGCAUUUAAAAGUUUAGAGUUAAAAUAUUUUUUUGGUGACAUUUCUUCUCCUUCUUCUUUUCUGAUAUCUUUUUUUUUUUUUUUUUUUUUUUUUUUUUGGCUUAUAGGUACUGGAUUAGCUGCAGUUUUCAUUAAUCUAUCUGUUGAGAACUUCGCUGGCUGGAAAUUUUCACUGACUUUUUCUAUAAUACAAAAAUCAUAUUUUGCCGGCUUCAUAGUAUAUGUAUUAAUUAACUUGGCUUUAGUCUAUUCAUCUGUAUAUAUUGUCACACAAUUUGCGCCCGCAGCAGCAGGAUCUGGUAUUCCUGAAAUUAAAGGUUAUUUGAAUGGUAAGCUGAAAAGCUCAAUUGGCUUGUCUUAGUGUCACUAAUCAAUGAGUUAUUCCUACUAUAAUCCAUGGAGAUGCUAAUCAACAUUAAUUGUAUAGGAAUCGAUAUUCAUGGAAUUCUACUUUUCAGAACCUUGAUUGGAAAGGUUUAAUGGACUUCUUAUCAUAAACUUUCUUGUUUAGGAUUUUCUGAUUAUUCAUAUUUCAAUCUUAAUUGUUCUCACUUGAUGUUUAUAGAUAUUUGGAAGUAUUGGUUCUGUGGGAGGGGGUCUUGCUUUAGGCAAAGAAGGUCCCCUUGUUCAUACUGGUGCUUGUAUUGCUUCUUUACUUGGACAAGUAAGAAUCACUUCUUGGAGUUUACUUUGUUUCAGAACUAAAACAUAUGUUUGCAGAACUUUUUAAUGUUUGCCACAAUAACCUAAGUUUCAAUUGUCAAUUUAGGGUGGAUCCACCAAAUUUCAUCUAAGUUCCAGGUGGUUACAAGUUUUCAAAACUGAUCGUGAUCGCCGUGAUCUUGUGAGUAACUUACCCCUUGAUGUAAUUAAGCUUUUACGUUUUGAUGGGAGAUUGCACUUUUGGAUUUAUUUGCUUGUUACAUCUCCUUGGAAACCCUUUUACUCGCCAAGUGGUUGUAGCCAAAUAGAUGUUGGAUAUUAUGUCAUGCAGAAACAUUGUAGCUUGGGUACCAUUUUAUUAUGGUCUCUCAUUUUUCUAAGAAUAGAGGUGAUUCACAUCUUUAUUGUGCUCAUUUUUUGAUUCAUCUAAUGUUUUGAAAAGGUGACUUGUGGAUGUGCAGCUGGAGUUGCAGCUGCUUUUAGAGCUCCUGUUGGUGGUGUAUUGUUUGCAUUAGAAGAGGUUACAUCUUGGUAAGACAGUUUUAUCCUUGGUUAUAUGGUUAACCUUUUGUAACAAAGAGCAAAGAAAUAAAAUUUAGGUUAUGUUGGAUGCAAUUGAUUUUUAAUUGUGCAAGCAUGGUUUAUUUGCCAUUGUUAUUCAUCAGAUAUAUAUGCUAUUGCCAAUGUGUUAUAUGCAUUCCCAUGUUUUCCUUUAAAUUUUUUGACAGUUUGGUCAGUCUACUCAUAGUUUUAUGUCAAAAAUUUGAAUGCCUCUUACAUUUGUUUCUGUUUUGUGCUUUAAGGUGGAAGAGUCAACUUAUGUGGCGUGUCUUUUUUACUUCCGCUAUUGUGGCAGUGGUAGUGCGUACUGCAAUGGGAUGGUGUAAGAGUGGAAAGUGUGGGCAUUUUGGCUCGGGUGGUUUUGUUAUAUGGGACAUAUCAGAGUUGAUACUCAGACUCUUCUCUUUCCCUAUUGUUAUACCCUACUGUGAGCUUUUACAGUUUGUCUAAGUUCUAUUUGUUGUUAUUUCUUUUCUGGACAGUGGUCAAGAAGACUACUCUUUUGGGGAAUUACUUCCAAUGGCUGUUAUUGGUGUUAUUGGUGGUCUACUUGGUGAGUAACCAUAUCCUUACCCUGACAUUGUCUUCUUUUCCAUUUUCAUUUAAUUGCAAAAAAUUUUUUAUUUGUUUAAUUUCGUCGCUCUUGAAUUUUCAGGAGCAUUAUUUAACCAGCUCACACUUUAUAUUACUAAAUGGCGCCGAAAUUACUUGCACAAGAAAGGCUCCCGAGUGAAGGUAAAAUUUAGGAUAAUCAUGGAAUCCUGUUCUUUCCUUUUUGGUUGUGCACUAUUAUCUCAAAUUUCAAUUUGUAUACUCCAAUUAUAAUUAUAACAUUGUCACAGAUUGUUGAAGCAUGCCUAGUCUCUGUGAUAACAUCUGCUAUUUCUUUUGGAUUACCACUUCUAAGAAAAUGCAGUCCAUGCCCUGAAUCAGAUCCUGACUCUGGUAUUGAGUGCCCACGGCCUCCGGGAAUGUAUGGAAAUUAUGUAAAUGUAAGAGCUAGCCUUGACAUUCACUCUUUUUGGUGAUUUUAUUUUGUAUGUCCUCAUCUCAAAAAUUUUCAUGAUCACAACUUGAACGUAAUAGGUUUAGUACAACACAGUGUACUUUCUGCAGAUGACCAAGAUAUUCUGAUUUUGAUUUUCUGACUUGCAGUUUUACUGUGGCAAGAGCAACGAGUACAAUGAUCUUGCAACAAUUUUCUUUAAUACUCAGGUAUCAUCAGAAUUGUGAAAGCCCUUCUUCAUUGCUUUACAUUUGGGUUUCACAUGUCGGUCCAUUUUUUCAUUUUAAUGCAGUUAUAAUGUUCUUACAGGAUGAUGCUAUAAGGAAUCUGUUUAGUGCGAAGACAAUCCAUGAGUUCAGUGCCCAAAGUUUAUUAACAUUUCUGGUAGUAUAUUUUUUUUUCCUUAUUUUCACAUGAGAAGAUUAGUCAUAUCGCAUCUGUGAUUUUUUUUAAAUUGAUUCAAUUGUUCUCAGGUCUUUUGCCAGGCACUGAGCCUUGUUGCUCUUUUGCUUUAUGCUUUAAUUUUAAAAUUUGAAAUUAAUAGACUUUUCUUCUCCAGUCACUCCAUAAGUGCUGCAGCUGGCUACCAGGCUGCUUUCUGGAAAAGAAAAUUAAUGCUAUUUUUUUUUUUUUUUUUUUUUUUUUGUAUUCUGAAAAUGAAGUAUGAUGAUAUUUUUCAAAGUCCAAAAUUUUAAUUACUACAGGUCCACAAUAAAGUCUCAGGAAGCUUUAGGUCUAGGUUGUUCGGAAUCAGAAUGGGGGAUCUGUCUUGUGUAUACAUUUGAUGGUUGUUCUUAUUUUUAUAUUUUGAAUUUCUCAAGAAAGAGCUCUAAUUUACCUCCUGAUGUCUUUUGUACAGAACUCAGCACUUUCUUUCUUAUUUUCAUCUUUGUAGUUUGUUCUGAUACUCAUUUUGGUUAUCUAAAUCCAAUCCAGUUUCUUUUAUACUAUCUACUUCCCUGCUUAUUCAGCUUAUGCUCUCUGACCUUAUUAUGUUGUUGAUUUUUUUUUUCCAAUUAUUUUAUGGUUAAACUAACCAGAAGAGGGUUUAUGAUCAUAUUUUAAUAUCUUCAUCCAAUUGAGUGAAUUUUGUGCAUCUGUUUAUAAUGUUUACAGGUGAUGUUUUAUACCCUAGCUGUGGUGACAUUUGGCACAGCAGUUCCUGCUGGUCAGUUUGUCCCUGGAAUAAUGAUAGGAUCAACAUAUGGACGCAUUGUCGGCAUGUUUGUUGUUAAAUUUUACAACAAGCCCAACAUUGAGGAGGGAACGUGAGUCUCUUGCUUUGGUUCUGUGAAAUUUUCAACAGUAAGACGUAUUUCGUUGAUGACACAUUUUCUAUGCACUCACAAAAGCUUUGCUUUUAUGCUGGAUAAAAAACAAUAACCAACUCAUGGUUUUUUUCUUUUUUUCAUGCAUAUCAUAAAAUUGUCCCUCAUUUAUUUAUUUAUUUAUUAUACUGCAUUCCUUGCUCAAUAUGGUUGACUUUUACCUUCUAUCCAUGAAAAACUAUUGCCUCAAUACUAUUUUCUUCUUUCUGAACUAUGCUGUAUGCGUCCUGGUCAACUUGUAGAUAUGCUUUGUUGGGCGCUGCUUCCUUCCUUGGAGGUUCUAUGCGUAUGACAGUCUCAUUAUGUGUCAUAAUGGUUGAGAUCACAAACAACUUGAAGCUUUUACCUCUCAUCAUGCUUGUCCUCCUUAUAUCAAAGGUAAGCUUUUGAAUUGCUUAACAUAUUUAUUGAUGAAUGUUCUAUAAAAUCAAUCUCAUCUUUCCUCUGCAGGCCGUUGGUGAUGCUUUUAAUGAAGGUCUAUAUGAAGUUCAAGCUGAAUUGAGAGGCAUUCCAUUACUAGAUUCUAGGCCUAAAUAUCAAAUGAGAAAAAUGACUGCAAAGGAAGCUUGUGGAAGUCAGAAGGUUAUUUUCAUUUCAACUGCUUCUCAUUUGUGUCUCCCUUUCGCUGGGCGGUUGUUUCAGAUACCAUCUUGAUUGUGUAAAAUGAACUACCAUGAAGUAUAUAAAUUGUGACUGCUAUUGGCAUGAGCAAUUGACAUUUGAACUCUUCAAGCCAAUCCUUUUUGUCUUGGCUUUCUUAUUUCUUUUCCUCUUCUAUUGUGCUGCACACCAUCUUCAACUCAUUGUGUUUGCUCUUCCAUCAUUUGAAGGUUGUCUCCUUUCCUCGGGUUGCUAAGGUUGCAGAUGUAGUUUCUAUCUUACGAAGCAAUAAACACAAUGGUUUUCCUGUAAGCUUUGCACGGAUCUUUGUCGUCUUCUGUUUAUGCAUGGGAUUUCUAAACUAUAUUCUAAUACUGUACUUGCACGUAGGUGAUUGAUCACACAAGGAAUGGAGAAACCCUUGUAAUUGGACUUGUUCUUCGCAGGUAGAACUCUUAAUUCUCUUUUGGUUUGUGUUGUUUUAUUCAUUAGAAGCAGAGGCCAUGCAUCUAAUUUAAUUUUUGGUUUCCUUGGCAGCCACUUGCUAGUGCUUCUUCAGUCUAAGGUAGAUUUUCAGCAUAGUCCUUUGCCUUGUGAUCCUAGAGGUGCUUCCAGUACAAUCAGGUAAAGGGAAGCUUAAUACUAGUUAUCCUUGCUGUUACUUGAUUGACCUUCACACUUGCUGAAACAAGUGGAUUCUAUCUCAGGCACAAUUUCGGUGAAUUUGUGAAACCUGCCUCCAGUAAAGGAAUUUCCAUAGAUGAUAUUCAUCUCAGUUCAGAUGACUUAGAAAUGUACAUUGAUCUUGCCCCAUUUUUGAAUCCUUCUCCAUAUGUUGUCCCUGAGGACAUGUCUUUAACAAAGGUGAACCACUUUUUUCCUAUUUGUAUUUCAUAAUGUUGCAUAUGGGGUCUGGGAGUCCCCCAGUUUGUAUGAUAUAUUAUGCAUUUUGCCAAUGGCAUAGGUAUAUAAUCUUUUCCGCCAGCUAGGAUUAAGACAUAUAUUCGUUGUUCCUCGUGCUUCACGUGUGAUUGGCUUGAUUACCAGAAAGGAUUUGCUUAUUGAGGUAGGUCGGCAUUAAUUUCUUCCACAUUUUAAAUUUAACUGGUCCAGUGUAACGAUUGUUCUGUGGCGAUUUGUAUUAUAGGACAAUGAGGAUUCAGCUAGUAUGGAGCUCCAAUCAACUAGUGUAAGGUCUCUAUGCUGCUCUACUCGUGUUUUCUGUUUGUUCUAAUGCAUAUGCAUCAGGGAAUUUUUAAUUUUAUUCAGGACAAGCUAAAUAAUCCUUUACUUCUGCGUCAUAACCAUUCAGAAUGAAUGUAAAUUAUGAUAAUGUUUCUUUAAAUGCACUUGUCUUUUUAGAUCAUUGGUGCUGUCAAGCAACAUGGUGUCUACUAGAUCCCUAAUUCAUAGAUGUAUAGCAGUAGCGGCAUUAGGAGUUUGCCUGUCAAGGCAACAUGAAAAGUUUUCUUCUCUCUUCACUGUCUGUGAAAUGGACAUGCAUAUUAAAUAUCCACACUUUAGGGUGUUGAUGUUUUUACCAUUUCGGUAUUUUCCCUAUUUCCUUAUUCAUGCCUGGUGUUGCUUGAUUAAAUUUAUUAUAGACAGCCAUUGGGAUUGUAUCCCAGUGGUCAAGUGUUUGCCCGGUGUUGCAACAGGAGAAGUUAUAUUACUUUGAGAAUUUCCGAUGUUUAAGGAAAAAAAAAAAAACACUGUUACCAGUAUUUUGACACGCCAAAACCUUAUUUUCUUGUGCAUUCAUUAAAAAAAAAAAAAAANNNNNNNNNNNNNNNNNNNNNNNNNNNNNNNNNNNNNNNNNNNNNNNNNNNNNNNNNNNNNNNNNNNNNNNNNNNNNNNNNNNNNNNNNNNNNNNNNNNNNNNNNNNNNNNNNNNNNNNNNNNNNNNNNNNNNNNNNNNNNNNNNNNNNNNNNNNNNNNNNNNNNNNNNNNNNNNNNNNNNNNNNNNNNNNNNNNNNNNNNNNNNNNNNNNNNNNNNNNNNNNNNNNNNNNNNNNNNNNNNNNNNNNNNNNNNNNNNNNNNNNNNNNNNNNNNNNNNNNNNNNNNNNNNNNNNNNNNNNNNNNNNNNNNNNNNNNNNNNNNNNNNNNNNNNNNNNNNNNNNNNNNNNNNNNNNNNNNNNNNNNNNNNNNNNNNNNNNNNNNAAGAGCUAGCCUUGACAUUCACUCUUUUUGGUGAUUUUAUUUUGUAUGUCCUCAUCUCAAAAAUUUUCAUGAUCACAACUUGAACGUAAUAGGUUUAGUACAACACAGUGUACUUUCUGCAGAUGACCAAGAUAUUCUGAUUUUGAUUUUCUGACUUGCAGUUUUACUGUGGCAAGAGCAACGAGUACAAUGAUCUUGCAACAAUUUUCUUUAAUACUCAGGUAUCAUCAGAAUUGUGAAAGCCCUUCUUCAUUGCUUUACAUUUGGGUUUCACAUGUCGGUCCAUUUUUUCAUUUUAAUGCAGUUAUAAUGUUCUUACAGGAUGAUGCUAUAAGGAAUCUGUUUAGUGCGAAGACAAUCCAUGAGUUCAGUGCCCAAAGUUUAUUAACAUUUCUGGUAGUAUAUUUUUUUUUCCUUAUUUUCACAUGAGAAGAUUAGUCAUAUCGCAUCUGUGAUUUUUUUUAAAUUGAUUCAAUUGUUCUCAGGUCUUUUGCCAGGCACUGAGCCUUGUUGCUCUUUUGCUUUAUGCUUUAAUUUUAAAAUUUGAAAUUAAUAGACUUUUCUUCUCCAGUCACUCCAUAAGUGCUGCAGCUGGCUACCAGGCUGCUUUCUGGAAAAGAAAAUUAAUGCUAUUUUUUUUUUUUUUUUUUUGUAUUCUGAAAAUGAAGUAUGAUGAUAUUUUUCAAAGUCCAAAAUUUUAAUUACUACAGGUCCACAAUAAAGUCUCAGGAAGCUUUAGGUCUAGGUUGUUCGGAAUCAGAAUGGGGGAUCUGUCUUGUGUAUACAUUUGAUGGUUGUUCUUAUUUUUAUAUUUUGAAUUUCUCAAGAAAGAGCUCUAAUUUACCUCCUGAUGUCUUUUGUACAGAACUCAGCACUUUCUUUCUUAUUUUCAUCUUUGUAGUUUGUUCUGAUACUCAUUUUGGUUAUCUAAAUCCAAUCCAGUUUCUUUUAUACUAUCUACUUCCCUGCUUAUUCAGCUUAUGCUCUCUGACCUUAUUAUGUUGUUGAUUUUUUUUUUCCAAUUAUUUUAUGGUUAAACUAACCAGAAGAGGGUUUAUGAUCAUAUUUUAAUAUCUUCAUCCAAUUGAGUGAAUUUUGUGCAUCUGUUUAUAAUGUUUACAGGUGAUGUUUUAUACCCUAGCUGUGGUGACAUUUGGCACAGCAGUUCCUGCUGGUCAGUUUGUCCCUGGAAUAAUGAUAGGAUCAACAUAUGGACGCAUUGUCGGCAUGUUUGUUGUUAAAUUUUACAACAAGCCCAACAUUGAGGAGGGAACGUGAGUCUCUUGCUUUGGUUCUGUGAAAUUUUCAACAGUAAGACGUAUUUCGUUGAUGACACAUUUUCUAUGCACUCACAAAAGCUUUGCUUUUAUGCUGGAUAAAAAACAAUAACCAACUCAUGGUUUUUUUCUUUUUUUCAUGCAUAUCAUAAAAUUGUCCCUCAUUUAUUUAUUUAUUUAUUAUACUGCAUUCCUUGCUCAAUAUGGUUGACUUUUACCUUCUAUCCAUGAAAAACUAUUGCCUCAAUACUAUUUUCUUCUUUCUGAACUAUGCUGUAUGCGUCCUGGUCAACUUGUAGAUAUGCUUUGUUGGGCGCUGCUUCCUUCCUUGGAGGUUCUAUGCGUAUGACAGUCUCAUUAUGUGUCAUAAUGGUUGAGAUCACAAACAACUUGAAGCUUUUACCUCUCAUCAUGCUUGUCCUCCUUAUAUCAAAGGUAAGCUUUUGAAUUGCUUAACAUAUUUAUUGAUGAAUGUUCUAUAAAAUCAAUCUCAUCUUUCCUCUGCAGGCCGUUGGUGAUGCUUUUAAUGAAGGUCUAUAUGAAGUUCAAGCUGAAUUGAGAGGCAUUCCAUUACUAGAUUCUAGGCCUAAAUAUCAAAUGAGAAAAAUGACUGCAAAGGAAGCUUGUGGAAGUCAGAAGGUUAUUUUCAUUUCAACUGCUUCUCAUUUGUGUCUCCCUUUCGCUGGGCGGUUGUUUCAGAUACCAUCUUGAUUGUGUAAAAUGAACUACCAUGAAGUAUAUAAAUUGUGACUGCUAUUGGCAUGAGCAAUUGACAUUUGAACUCUUCAAGCCAAUCCUUUUUGUCUUGGCUUUCUUAUUUCUUUUCCUCUUCUAUUGUGCUGCACACCAUCUUCAACUCAUUGUGUUUGCUCUUCCAUCAUUUGAAGGUUGUCUCCUUUCCUCGGGUUGCUAAGGUUGCAGAUGUAGUUUCUAUCUUACGAAGCAAUAAACACAAUGGUUUUCCUGUAAGCUUUGCACGGAUCUUUGUCGUCUUCUGUUUAUGCAUGGGAUUUCUAAACUAUAUUCUAAUACUGUACUUGCACGUAGGUGAUUGAUCACACAAGGAAUGGAGAAACCCUUGUAAUUGGACUUGUUCUUCGCAGGUAGAACUCUUAAUUCUCUUUUGGUUUGUGUUGUUUUAUUCAUUAGAAGCAGAGGCCAUGCAUCUAAUUUAAUUUUUGGUUUCCUUGGCAGCCACUUGCUAGUGCUUCUUCAGUCUAAGGUAGAUUUUCAGCAUAGUCCUUUGCCUUGUGAUCCUAGAGGUGCUUCCAGUACAAUCAGGUAAAGGGAAGCUUAAUACUAGUUAUCCUUGCUGUUACUUGAUUGACCUUCACACUUGCUGAAACAAGUGGAUUCUAUCUCAGGCACAAUUUCGGUGAAUUUGUGAAACCUGCCUCCAGUAAAGGAAUUUCCAUAGAUGAUAUUCAUCUCAGUUCAGAUGACUUAGAAAUGUACAUUGAUCUUGCCCCAUUUUUGAAUCCUUCUCCAUAUGUUGUCCCUGAGGACAUGUCUUUAACAAAGGUGAACCACUUUUUUCCUAUUUGUAUUUCAUAAUGUUGCAUAUGGGGUCUGGGAGUCCCCCAGUUUGUAUGAUAUAUUAUGCAUUUUGCCAAUGGCAUAGGUAUAUAAUCUUUUCCGCCAGCUAGGAUUAAGACAUAUAUUCGUUGUUCCUCGUGCUUCACGUGUGAUUGGCUUGAUUACCAGAAAGGAUUUGCUUAUUGAGGUAGGUCGGCAUUAAUUUCUUCCACAUUUUAAAUUUAACUGGUCCAGUGUAACGAUUGUUCUGUGGCGAUUUGUAUUAUAGGACAAUGAGGAUUCAGCUAGUAUGGAGCUCCAAUCAACUAGUGUAAGGUCUCUAUGCUGCUCUACUCGUGUUUUCUGUUUGUUCUAAUGCAUAUGCAUCAGGGAAUUUUUAAUUUUAUUCAGGACAAGCUAAAUAAUCCUUUACUUCUGCGUCAUAACCAUUCAGAAUGAAUGUAAAUUAUGAUAAUGUUUCUUUAAAUGCACUUGUCUUUUUAGAUCAUUGGUGCUGUCAAGCAACAUGGUGUCUACUAGAUCCCUAAUUCAUAGAUGUAUAGCAGUAGCGGCAUUAGGAGUUUGCCUGUCAAGGCAACAUGAAAAGUUUUCUUCUCUCUUCACUGUCUGUGAAAUGGACAUGCAUAUUAAAUAUCCACACUUUAGGGUGUUGAUGUUUUUACCAUUUCGGUAUUUUCCCUAUUUCCUUAUUCAUGCCUGGUGUUGCUUGAUUAAAUUUAUUAUAGACAGCCAUUGGGAUUGUAUCCCAGUGGUCAAGUGUUUGCCCGGUGUUGCAACAGGAGAAGUUAUAUUACUUUGAGAAUUUCCGAUGUUUAAGGAAAAAAAAAAAAAAAAACUUUUACCAGUAUUUUGACACGCCAAAACCUUAUUUUCUUGUGCAUUCAUUAAAAAAAAAAAAAAAGAAAUCAAUUUAUCUAAUUAUUCGUUAACCAUCUAUGCUGUUAUUUAAGUUAAAUUAGCGUGUAGUUUUGUUUUGCUCACUGUAUUAGUCUGCUGAAUUUACUGCCAUAAGUGCUGCAUUGAUUGGUUUUCAACUUCUCUGAUCAUCUUUUUGAUUAUUGGUGGCAGAACUAAAUAUUUAGAUAGAAGAAUGUUCACUAGGAAUACAGAUGUGCAGCGCCCACUUAUCAAUGGUGUAUUGAUCCGAGAUCAUGUCCCUGCUUGAAAUCGCCAUCCAAUUCUUCCUCAUUGGAUCACAUUUCCAGCUGAUGAUGCUGACCGAUUAUAUCCUUGAAUACCAAUUCUUUUCUCUCACUUCAUUUUUUUUGUAAUGAAAUAGAAUAUAGAUUCUCCUAGGCUUUCAUCUCUGUGAAUUAUUAUUCGCUGUCCCCUUCCAUGCAGGGGUCGUGAACCACACUUGAUCUUAUAUUUUUGUAAUCUAUUCAGAUAUGGGGGGAAAAAAAUACAGAAAUGCAAAUGUUCUCAAAGGAAGCUUUAUAGAAUUAUUUUGUUAGAAUGGAUAAUGCGUUCAUGAAUUCUGCAAGUGUUCGUGACCAGAGUGAAUGGUUCGAUGUGAAGUACUUAUUAUUGAAAAAUGAAAUAAGAUUAUUUUAUUGGUUUAAAUUUAAUGCAUUAAUUGUAUGAUACACAUAUUUGUGCUUCUAAGUGGAGCAGCCAUGCGAUUAUCCAAAUUUUGAAAAUUGAUUUCUUCAAAAAAUUUUGUAAUGAUGGUAUUUUGUCUGGCCUAAUGCGCCUUAAAAACGAUAUCAAAAACUCAGAAUACAAUGUCGUUGAUAAUGAGCCCGAAUAAUUACGUACUGUCGUUUUUAGGCCUGAUGGGCAAAUUUUUACCAAAGUAAACGGGUAAAUUCUUAGCAAGCAAAUGGAGAUUAAGAGAAUAAUUAAUUUUUUAAAAUUAUAAAAAAAUUUUAUUUUUUAUCUCAAAAUUAAAAAUAACUAAUAUAAAUAAAAAUGAUUGAAAAAAAGGAUCAUUUACUGCACUUUAUAAUUCAAAAUAAUUUAAGUGGGUCAUUUAAAUAGACGGUAAACUAUUGAAAAAAAAUAGAGUUUGAAAACUACUUGUCAAAUACCGAUGUGUCAAUGAGAAUUAAUGAGGCGCUACCCAGUCUUUCAAAGUAAACGACAAUAACAAACGCAUCUUGCACUGUCUAGUUGAUAAAAAAAAAAUAAUAAUAAUAAAAUAAAAUGGAUUGUCUAUGCGGAAGAAUGUGCUAAAUGCCUAAAAAAUGAAAACUUUUGUGCAUAGAAUCUAUUUAGACCUUCAUUUAGUCUACCAAUUAAACUAAUCUAAAUGAUCUUGUGUAAGACUAAUCCUCUGAAUCUAUAAUGUGAUUCUUGUAUGUUUUUCAUUAAAUCCUCUCUAACAAAAACAGAUAAUGUUACAGUCAAAUGUUUAAAACUGCUAGGACAGAACAGCUAACCUCUCCUAAGCAAACGCUCUGUCUAGUAUUCCCCGUUUUUAAGUUUCUAAUUUUAGCAAUUCUUCCUAUAUAAACCUAUUUACAAUCACAUUAUGCAAAACACUAGUUCCUUUUGCUUUCUUCUCUAAUUACCUUUGCUUUUCUUUGUUACUUCAAUUCUGAGUUAAUCAGUUUCAUUAAUCUCCUUGCAUUGCUGAGAAGUUUAAUUAGUUGUGGUUAAGGAAGGUAAUUAAAAAUGCCAGCCAUAGUAAUUGCCAGCAAUGGCGAUAUGCCAACUUUCGAAGGAAGGAUGACUUUUACAGUCGUCUUAUGUGUUAUUAUUGCAGCUUGUGGAGGCCUAAUGUUUGGCUAUGACAUUGGUGUUUCAGGUACUUUAGUACUAAUAUUUAAAUAAAAUAAAUAAUCUUCUUAUAAUUAUUUCAUAUUUGUUGGCAAACUAAUUAAUUAUUUUCUUGAAUAUAAAAAUUGCAGGUGGUGUUUCAGCCAUGGAUGACUUCUUGGUAAAAUUCUUUCCUUCAGUUUAUGAAAGAAAGAAACAUGCACAUGAAAACAAUUACUGCAAAUAUGACGAUCAAUAUCUCCAACUGUUCACUUCUUCCUUAUACAUUGCCGCUCUUGUAGCCAGCUUUGUGGCUUCAAAAACCUGCACUAAGUUUGGCAGGAAACCCACUAUGCAAUUUGCUUCCUUUUUCUUCAUAGCAGGUGUCGCUUUAAGUGCCUUUGGAGUAAAUAUAGAAAUGGUGAUUGUUGGCAGGGUUUUCCUUGGCUUCGGUGUUGGAUUUGCCAAUCAAGUAUAACUUCUUCUUCUUCUUCUUCUUCUUCUACAGAGUCUGUUUCGCAUUGCUGCUGAAACUGCUUAAAAACAAAAUUUAGCAGCUCAAACAGCAAUGUUGAAGAGGGCUUAAUUAAAAUACAAAGAAAAAUUAACAGAACUGGCUCAUUUUUACAGGCAGUGCCACUAUUUCUUUCAGAGUUAGCUCCAGCGAAAGUCCGAGGAGCGCUAAAUAUUUGUUUCCAACUCUUCAUAACAAUUGGAAUAUUGCUUGCAAAUAUUGUGAACUACUUCGUGGGUGAGAUUCACCCAUACGGAUUUAGAAUUUCACUUGGACUUGCAGGCGUACCAGCUUUGAUGCUUGGUUUAGGUUCAUUAAUCAUAGUUGAAACACCAACAAGCUUGAUAGAGCGUGAUAGAGUAGAAGAAGGAAGAGCAGUACUCAAGAAAAUCAGAGGAAUUGACAAUGUCGAUCCUGAAUUUGAUUCUAUAGUACACGCUUGUGAGAUUGCUAGGCGAGUGACAGACCCUUAUGCCAAACUCAUGACAAGACCAAGCAGACCACCACUAAUCAUAGCGAUUAUGUUGCAAAUUUUCCAACAAUUCACUGGAAUUAAUGCGAUUAUGUUCUACGCACCUGUUUUGUUUCAGACAGUUGGUUUUGGAAAUGAUGCAGCUCUUCUAUCGUCCGUUGUAACAGGAACUGUUAAUGUUCUGUGCACUAUUGUUUCUGUUGUGGUUGUAGAUAGAGCAGGAAGGAGGAUUCUUCUUAUUGAAGCUUGUUUACAAAUGCUUAUUACACAGACAGUUAUUGGAGUUAUAUUAAUGAAGGAUUUGAAACCCACUGGUGAUUUACCAAGUUCGGAGGCAUUAAUUGUGGUGGUUAUGGUAUGUGUAUUUGUUGCUGGUUUUGCUUGGUCAUGGGGUCCCUUGGGUUGGUUAAUCCCAAGCGAAACGUUUCCUCUUGAAACAAGAACAGCUGGGUAUUCAUUUGCAGUUAGCUCUAAUAUGCUCUGCACAUUUAUAAUCGCACAAGCAUUUUUGUCCAUGCUCUGCAAAAUGCAAGCUGGGAUUUUCUUCUUCUUCGCAGCUUGGAUUGUGGCUAUGAUGGUAUUUGCUCUGUUUUUCAUUCCUGAGACUAAAGGUAUUCCCAUUGAUGAGAUGGUUGAUAGAGUUUGGAAGCAGCAUUGGUUCUGGUAUAGAUUCUUUGACGAUGAACAUGAUGGUCCUGUCAAGAAACCAGCUAAGAUGAUUCACACUCAUAUGCCUUGAGAUUUUCAGAGCAACCUGAGGAGUUCAAUAAGGGGAAGAAAGAAAAAACAGAAAAAAAGGAAAAAAAACAAUGAAUAAUGGAAUCUUUAAUCUUGUCUUUGUCAUUGUGAUUAGGCAAAGAAUUUGGUGAAUAAUGUAACCAAAUACACACUGCCAGUUUCAGCUAGAUGGAACGGAAAGGUUUUAUUGGAAAGGAAAGCUGUCCCAGUUGUGUAUUUCAUUUCAUGUUUGACGUUUCAAUGAUCUGAGAAAUAAAAAGACAAAAAAAAAAAAAAAAAAAAAAAAAAUCGCACCCUACCAUCUCUUAUUCAUUUUGCUUCAUCUAUUACCUUUUAUUGGACUAUUAUUAGAUAAAAUAGUUCUUGAGAUAAAGAACUAAAUAAAAUAUGAGCUACAUAUUUCUAGAUUAGAAACAGAUGCAAGGAUUUGUUUUAAAAAAGAAAAAAAAAAAAUAUAUAUAUAUAUAUAUAUAUAAUAUUUAUUUUAAAUUUACCCGAAUUUCUGAGCUUAACAUGUUGGAGCUUUAAUCGGCUCAUUUACAGUCGCUAGAGGCACAUGCACACACGUUAACUGUUCAAAAUCUUCACAUUUUCUUUUUCAUAAAUAUUUGUUAUCUCAAAAAAAAAAAAUAAAUAAAUAAAUAAAGCCUAAGACAGUAAUUAACCUUACAAAUUCCAAUAGGAUUACGAUCAGGAUAAAACCUUGUAGGAAAAUAAAAAAUAUAUCAAAGAAACUUCCAGUUAAAUAUGCAUUAUUUCCUAAUUUAGAAAAUUAAAUAAUAUUCUAAAUUAGAGGGAAAACCCUAUUCCCACCAAUAUCAGAAAAAAAUCGUUGCCUUCAUUGUUGAGAAAUUCUUCCUUUAUGGCAGGAAGACAUACUAUAUAUAAAUAUAUGUGGAAAAAGAAAUGAACAGACCAUUUUAUUUUUCAUUGAGUGGAGUGACAGAAAACUAAGAGAAAGAGAAAAGAAAAGAUAUGGCAGAAAGAACAGAGAGAACAGUCACAUAAAUAGAAAAUGAUGGUGGUGGUGGUGAUGAGAAUUAUCCAUGGAAGAUGAAUCUUUAUGUUGCUGUGUGUUGGAUUCUUGCUGCCUUUGGCGGCUUAAUGUUCGGUUAUGAUAUUGGAAUUUCAGGUUCUUACAUACUCUCUAUAUUGUGAUUCGUUAUCAUAUUUUUUACUUUUGACUGUAUCGCUUUAUGUUUUAUAUUUUCAUUGUGUAUUAUUCUAUUACCAAAAGUUACUGCUACAGAGCUACUUGGACCCGUUAAUUCUUUCUUACUAAUUAAAAUUUUUAAUAUUUUUUAUUCAUUAUUAAUAUUGCAAUCAGAUAACAAAAAUAGUUUUUUAGAAAAUAUUUUCCCGAAUUAAGUUAUUUUCCAAAAAAAAAAAAAAGAGUUUGGUAAUGACAAAAUUUUAUUUUUCAUAUUUUCAGUUUUAUAUAAAUUUCAAUUAAAAAAAAUAUUUUUCCUAUCAAAAUUGUUCGCAUGUUAAAAAAAAAAAAAAAAAAAUUUUUUCCUUCAAAAAUUUUUCCCAAUUUAAAAAAAAAAAAAAAAAAAGUCAAUUUUCUAUCCAAAGUAUGGAGAUAAUAAUUAUAAUGCACUUGUUUUUAUUUUUUUUACUAAUUACUUAAUUUAUGUGUUUAUGAAGAUGAGGCAAAAAUUAAUUAGUUGACCAGAAUUUUGUAUAAGCAUAUAGGUUAGGGCAUUUUAGGUAAAAAAAAAAAUUGAUUUAUUUAUUUUUUGGAAACCCAACUCUGAUAUUCUGAUUUUAGGUGGAUUGACAGCUAUGGAUGAUUUUUUUGAUAAACUUCUUUCCUUCUGCAAAGGAAAACAAUUACUGCAAAUAUGACAAUCAAUAUCUUCAGCUUUUAAAUGUCAAAAAAAAUAUAUAUAUCUUCAGCUUUUCACAUCUUCACUUUACCUUGCUGCACUUUUUGCAAGCUUCGGGGCCUCAAAAGUCAAAAGUCUGCUCAAAGUUGGGUCGAAAACCCACAAUUUUUCUUGCAUCAUUGUUUUUCCUCGCAGGAGCUUCUCUAAGCUCUGGCGCUCAAAGUCUCUGGAUGCUGAUUCUUGGCAGAGUUCUCUUAGGUUUCGGUGUAGGAUUUGGGAAUAAGGUAAUAAACAUUAGUUUCAGACAACAUUAAUAUCUCUAAUAAUUCAUAAUUCCUUAAAGAUAAAUUCUUUUUGUUCAGGCUGUUCCGUUGUUCCUGUCAGAAAUAGUACCAGUUCAGCAUCGUGGAGCUGUGAAGAUUCUGUUUCAGCUUUUCAUUACUAUAGGGAUCUUAAUAGCAAAUCUCGUUAAUUAUGCCUCUACAAAAUCACAUCCUAAUGGAUGGAGAAUAUCAUAGGGGCUCGCAGGUGCGCCUGCUGUCAUCCUGUUUAUAGGCUCAAUAGUGAUUACUGAGACGCCUGCAAGCCUAAUCGAGCAGGGAAAACGAGGCCAAGGGAUCAAAGCUCAAGAAACUUAAAAGGAGUUGAAAAUGUUGAGGCUGAGUUUAAGCAAAUUGAGGCUGCUUGUGAAAUGGCGACGCAAAUUAAGGAUCCAUUCAAGAAUCUGACGAGAAGUUAUAGCAUUCCUCCGCUAAUUAUAGCCAUAGUGAUGCAAGUGUUUCAGCAGUUUACAGGAAUCAAUGCUGUAAUGUUUACGUGCCUGUUUUGUUUCAAACUGUGGGUUUCAAGAAUGACGCAUCUCUUUUGUCUUCUGUCAUUACCGGACUUGUUAAUGUUAUUAGCAUUCUUGUCCUAUAUAUGCGGUGGAUAAGAUACGCAGAAGGAAACUGCUGCUUCAAGCUUGUUUUCAGAUUUUUAUUUGUCAGGUUUAUACAUAAAAACUAAAUUAACUGCUCAUCUUUAUUAAUUGUUAUUUUACCUCUGGUUUUGACUUGUUUUGAUGGUGCAGGUUGUGAUUGGAUUUAUUUUGCUACUGAAGUUGUCAGAGACAGGGAGUAUUUCACGUCCACUAGCAGCCGUUAUAGUGGUUCUAGUGUGCUUGUACGUUAUGGCCUUUGCAUGGUUAUGCCGUUCUCUUGGCUGGUUGAUUCCAAGCGAAACGCUCCCUUUAGAAACCAGAAUUGAGGGGUUUGCUUUUGCAGUUAGCACAAAUAUGCUCUGUACUUUCAUCAUAGCUCAAGCAUUCUUAUCAAUGCUUUGCCAGAUGCGUGCCGCUAUAUUCUUCUUCUUCGCCGGUUGGAUCAUUAUUAUGUGCCUUUUCGUUUGGAAAUUGUUGCCGGAGACUAAGAAUGUCCCUAUUUAUCUCAUGGUUGAACAAAUAUGGAAGAAGCAUCCUGUAUGGAGAAAAUUCAUGGAUUGAUGGUUAUACUGAUACAUGACAGUGUUUAAUUAGUAGCAUUGUAUAAAGGGAGGCCACACAUUAUAACUACCAAUUCUUGUUUUUAUUAUUAAUAAUGGGAAAUUGGUAUUUCUGGUUUCAUAUGCUUCUGUUGAAAUGAAUUUUUCAACUUACUUUUAUUUGAUGAAAUAUGAAAACCAGAAACCAACAAUUUGAGAUAGAAGAAUAGCAGUAACAGAGAUCGAAAAAUACAUUAAAGACCACAAUUGUAAAUCUAAUGUAAUACAUUAAUUAUUGCGUUGUGUAUAACAACUAGGUUCAAAAUUUGGAAAAAAUUAAGCAAAACUGAACACAAAAAUUCCCAAAACAGCAAUAGAAAUGAAAGGUUUGAUUAGCACGGCUUGAUUGGAGGAAGGGCCCGGUACUCUGGCAGCAGGAACUGGAGGAGAGAGCGUUGAAGGUUGAGAAGCAGAAGCAGAAGCAGAGGGAGAUGGGGACAUUUCUUGAUCAUUGCGAGGGACGUUAAUAUCAAUCUUCUGGCCAGCUUGGCAGUGGCCAGGUACACCACAGAAGAAGAAAUGGUGGCCACGAGUUUUAAUGGUGAUUGAGUCAUUGCCUGUGGUAUAGGUUGCCAAUGGGGCAGAGGCAUUACAUGUCUUGUACAUCUCGUGCGUUACUCUCAUUACGUUGUGAAAUUGGGAGUUGUAUUCGAAAACUGAUCACAAACACCAAAAAAUUACCUAUUAGGAGUGACAGUAAUGAGAAUAGAAAAACAAGAAUAGUAUUUGAAUUAGAGAAUUAACAGGUUGUAAUCUAUCCUAUGAAAUUUUCUAUACAAGAAUUUAUAGAAUUAGCAAACUAUUAUUGUCCUUAUAGCAAGAUGAAAGAAAUAACCAUCGAGCGAGAGUCUCAAGCUUUAAAUGUAUAACAAACGCUAAUCUUCUACGAACUUUACACAUUUUGAAAUGAUCGAAAAAGUGAAGUUAUCGUGCUUGCAAACGUACGAGAAACAUCGAAGCUACCUCUGCUUUUCCUACAAUUUGGCAAUAGACAGAUGGAUGUGACUCUCCACCUACAAUUCCAACAAUCAUGAAAUGUCUCCAAACACCAUAGAAACUAAAAGGUUUGUGCCGACAUUAUCAUGCCAAUACACACAAUAAAAGAAUAGUGCCUGCACUGUACUUCAAUAUUACCUCAUUGGCCUUCUUAGUGAAACCUAUAAUUCUUUAGGUGGUUGAUUUUCUACAGUUUAAUUAUGCCUCGCACUCACAGAUCGCAAGCCUAGAAGGUACAUUAAGCUUCAAAAGUCGUACGGAGAGGACGGAAAAUUUUCCUCUCAAUUCACGGAAAGUUUAAAGUUUUUUCCCAAGCACGGAAAACUUUCUCUCCGAUCAGGGAUGACAGGAAACACUUUUCGUGAUCAAGAUUCAAUACCUGUAAGGAAAUGAUUUUCUUUUUACAUUUUUUUUUAAGGAGAGAGAAUAAUAGCCCAAAUAUCAUGGGCCCAACAGGUGCUGAGCCCAUCAGUAGGCGGCCCCACUUCCAGAGUUCUUUUAACAUAACGGUACACUUUGAGUUGAGUGGGCCAUUAGCACAUCAUGUACAAUCACUAGUGUUGGUCCCACAAAAUCAUUAUGACACACACACCAACUCUUGCUUAAAUUGCUUGGGACACUUGGAGGAUCAUAUAUCGCCCUCGUGUCAAUCGUAUUCAUACGUAUGAUUCACCAUGUUUCCCAACUUCCUAUGUAGAACAAGGCGAAGUUCAUUCGCCAAAGAAAACUAAAUCUGAUGACUGUAUUUUCAGAAUUACUAUGAAAUUGCGAGUUCUACUAUCACAGCCAAAUCUUGAAUAGUCUAGAAGCAAAACAAGAAUAUACCAAGAACUAACAAAACCCAGAAUCAAGAUCUAACAGAACAUGAAUUGUGAAGUCAGUUUAAUUAGUAGGUAAAGCAAUCAAUUAAUGGGUUUCAUGAAGAAAAGAAGGAAAAAGAAACAGAAACCCAAAUCCAAUUCCUGAUAACAAGGUGAAAAAUAAGAUUAAUUCUUACCAAUAACAUCACCAACUUGGAAAGUUUUAGUAGCAGCCCAUUGUUUGUAGUCAACGUUGCCAAUGGUGGUCCAACCAGCAGAGUCUCCCACCUUGUAUACGACUGCAUCGAUCACCUGAGACAUGAAUGCCAUUAUCAACAGUAGAACCACAGCUAAAUUGACUGAAGCCAUGGAUGCCAAUGAACACUGAGUGGAUAUGAUUGAUGGGUAUACGUUUUGUAUUUUCGUGGGUUUGAGUUGGAGACCUGAAGAGAUUUCUGCUGAUCGAGGCGUUUAUAAGUCUUUUGGACUUAUAUGAGUUUUGUCGCUGGGGUCAUCAAUCAUCAAGUGAUUUUAUUUUGUGGAAUCAGAUUUUGGUCCCCUGCUUUUUCGUAUAUGUAUUUUAGGAACCCCAAAUUUCAGGAAUUUGACAAUUGUGGUCCUAUAUGGUAAUGUUGCUCAUAAGUCACUCAUAAUUACAAGAAUUUAAUUACUGGCUUACCCAUUUCGGUGGCUUAAUAAGUUAUAUAAUUGAGAGUCAAAAUAUUCUGUAAUUUGAAAUAUUUUGAUCAACAAUUCUCUUACUAUAAAAAACACUUGGAGUAUAAAUUUAAGAAUUUAAAAUCAAGUUCUAAGGGUUUGUGGUUCACAUCAAUUAAUUAAUGAGUGUAUGGUAUUGGUAGGUUGUGCUUUUAUUUUUUAGGACUACAGUUUUGAAACACUUGAAAGGAAAGAAUGCUGGGGAUGCUAGUGGGUGGUGUGAUGGCAAGUGCAAAAGAACAACUAAUUUAUACACCAUGAAUUUAUUUUUAUUAGUUAGUGCUAUAAUCAUAAUGAGCAUACCUACCAUUAUAUUUGUUUUUCUCCCUUCUGGUAGAGCAUUGUUGCUUUAUACAAAGGUGAAGCAAGAGUCUUGCAGCCUACACAAUCCCAUAACACGUUACAAGCACAUUUUGCUUAUCAAACUCCAUUUACCCGAUUACUAGAUUAUUGCAAGCAAAUGAGCUCUCUGGAUGUCAUUACAAGCUUAAUGAAAAAAUAUGCAGAAUGGGGUGCAUUUCAUUACAAGCCUCCUUUGUUAGAAUGGAUAUUCUAUCUUAAACGACAAAUACAUAUUCCUGCUUAUACUUAUGUUUACACUUUACAGGAUGAGAUAUCACAUGAUUCGAUGUCUGUCUCCUUGCUUAUCAACCAUUUCAUUAAGUUUUCACAGUUAAGCAAAAUUUGCUUCGCAUUUGAUUGAAAUAGUCAAUUUAGUGGAUGUAAUGUCAAGUGUUAGGUUGGUUUUAAAGCGACCAUUAGAUAAAGAACAAGCCGUCAAAUUGGUUAAAUAUAGCCUCCCCUCCCCUGCCUAAACUUGGCUUCUCAAACACUUAUUGCCCAUUCAACUUUUUCUUUUUAAAUCGUUUUUUGAGGUUCUAGACAAGCAAUCAGCAGUAUAAGCCAAAUUGCUCAAUAAAAAAAAAAAAAUGUAAAUGCAAAACAGUACUAGAGAAACAGAAAUUCUUAAUUGCUCUCAAAUUAUAUAGUAGACAACAUGGUAUUGGCAAAAUAAUAUAUAUAUUAUAUAUAAUCUAAUUUGACUGUUUUGUAGCAACUAUCUGCAAUUUUUUUUACAACUGGGAAACGGGAUCAAAUCCAUUUGAAUGGCCAUUUUUCAGUUUGUAAUCACUGAUAGUGUUAAUUUUUAUAGUAUUUUUAUUAUAAUUUUUACUAAGAUUUAUAGUGUUUUUAAUUUAUCUAAAUUAGUUUUUAUAUAAUAUUGUUAUAUUUUUAUUUAAAAGCUUCCUUGAAACACAACUCACUUGAUUUUGAGGAAAAGUGUAGGAUUUUGCAAGAAAAGGACAAAAAUAAGGCAUAACAUGGAUUAGCACGCUUCAGCCCGUGCUAAGGCGCACCGUGCCAAAUACAAGGCAAAUCAAGCAAGAGCUAGAGGCGCGCACGCCCCAGGCCAUGCUGAGUAGCACGCUUGUGCCUAAAUUGCCUCAGACUUCCAAAGAGAUGCACGCCCCGCCCCGUGCCAAAGACCACGCCCGUGCGCGCACUAGAGAUAGAAGCCUAGCCCGUGCAGUUGAAGCACACCCGUGCUACACAAUUGCCUCAGACUUCCAGAAGUGCACGCCUCGGCCCGUGCCGCCUCGCACGCCCAUGCUGAGAGCCCUAGACUUCCAGAGCCUGGCACGCCCCAGGCCGUGCCAAGCAAGAAACUCUGAACUUGAGUCAAAAAUUGCCAACUAAUUCCUACCAUUUUCACAAGAUACUUUGGAUACUCUCUUCACAUGCUAGUCAAAGUUCAACCAUAUGCAUUUGGAAAGCCAUAAUUGAGAGCAAUUUAUGAGUUGAUUUAGAACAUUUACAUCUCACAAAAGUUGGACUUUACUCAUUAAAGCAUAAGGCUUGUUCCCCCAAGAAGUCUACAUAAAGAGGGGAAGGAGCCAUUCCAAGGGCAUCCCAUACUCUACAUCUCUUCUCCCAUCUCUCAUAGCUUUGUAUAUAGUUUUGUUUCUCCUAGAAGUUAGGCAUUCAAGAGUUGUGCAAAGUUUCAAGGAAGUCAUCCAAGCAAUCAUUCACUAGUUCUUAUUUCUAAACUCUUAAUCUUGUUUAUUUCUUUCAUUAUUCUUAUUAAUUAUGAAAUAUUUAUCAAGUAUUAUUGAGUCUUAUUUAAGUAUUAUGUGUAACUAAACUCUUAUACUAGGGGUUUGAUGUAGCUUAAUCUCUUUUCCAAUUUAUGCAAUUAGAUUUAUUUUUCCUUAUUCAAGUUAUGAUUUAUUAAUGAACUUAAUGCUUCUAGGCAGAAUUUUCCCUUAGAUUGAUUUAUUUCAAUUAUCACUAUCAGAAGAAGGAUAUUUGAUAAGAAAAGGUUAAUAAAAUACAUGAGAAUAAUAACUUGAUGCGGAAGCUAUAUGGUUUGACUCAUGGGGGUUUUUAUGAUUUAUCAACCUUAAAUUGUAAAUUCAUGAACAACUACAUAACUUAAUGAUUUAAUUCACAUUUGAUUGCGCUAUUGGAAGAUAGGUAAUUAGACCGAGUUAAAAUAGCUAACAAUACAUCGGAAGAGCUUGUUAGUGAUUUUUGGGUUGUUUCCCCUACUUGAAUAAUUAAAUUGAUCAAUGAACUAAUGAAAUAAAUUGGAUAGAAUUAAGUAAAAUCAAAACCCCUAGUAGUUUUAAAUCAUUGAUUUCUUUAAUCAAUAAUUGCUUGCUUAACUUCUUAUUUUUACUUGUUGAAUUUAAUUUUAUAAAUAAUUUCCUCAUUUAUCGUUUAAAUAAUAACAAGAUAACAUAAUUUUGGUACUUGGAUUACAAUCCUCGUGAGAACGAUAUCUUACUCAUCAUAUAUUACUUGUAGCGAUUCGUACACUUGCGAAAAUCUCUGUCAAUCACGAUUGAUUUCGGGCAGUCCCUCAUCAUCAUCCAUAAAUCUCCUCCAGAACCAAUGUUGCUUCCACACCCUUUCUGUCAUCUCUUCAAUAGGAAUAUUUUUGGUCUCCGGCAGCAAGAAAAGUACGAAAAAUGACAUGAUAAGCACCCAACCAGAGAAAAACAAGAAGAUACGAUACUUGAAAUGGCAGAGCAUGGAAAGGAAGACCUGUGCUAUAGCAAAAGUGAAAAGCAAGUUGACACAAACAGUCACACUCUGACCGGCUGAACGAGUCUCCAAUGGAAAUGUUUCGCUAGGAAUGAGCCAUCCUAAAGGCCCACAAGACCAAGCAAAGGCAGAAACAAAUGUGCACACCAUAAUCACAACUAAUAUUGCAAACCCUUUAUGAAGGUCUUCAGAAUAGUCUGUAAGUUUAAUUCCUAAUACUAUUGCUAUUAUUACUUGAGAGAGAAACAUUUGGAUUCCAGCUUCCAGUAACAGCAGUCGACGGCCUACUUUGUCCACUGAGUCAAUUGAUACUACAGUAGAAAGAACAUUCACUGCUCCUUUUAUGGCUGCUGAAUAACGAGAAGCAUCGCCCCCAAAACCUAAUGUGUCGAAUAGGACAGGAGCAUAGAACAUGAUCGCAUUUAUGCCAGUGAAUUGCUGGAAAAUCUGUUGCAUAAAUUAAGCUAAACUAUUACUAUUUUUUUUUUUUCUGGAUAGACAUAUGUGUACUUGAACAUAUUUAGAUAAAUACUGACCUGCAUGGCGACUGCUAUAACCAACUGUGGCCUGUUUCUACGUUUGAGGAGAUUUCUGAAGGGAUGUUUUACUUCUUUUGCUAUACGGCUUGCCUCAACGAGUUCUUCAAAUUCUGGUUCAAUCCUAUCUGUGCCUCGAAUCCUCCUGAGAACAGAUUUUCCUUCUUCCAGUCGGCCACGCUCGAUAAGACUGUUAGGAGUUUCUGAUACUAGAAGAGCCCCUACAGUCAAUAGAAGAGCAGGAAUGCCAGCUAGUCCUAAUGAGAGUCUCCAUCCCCAUCCUCCUUUGAUUCUGUUUAUGUAAGACACAGCAACAACAGCAGGAACAAAUACAGAACAACCUGAUAAAGAAAGAAAAAUCAAAAAAUGGGAAUAAGCUCACUUUGCAGUUCCAUAAUUGACAAGGUUAGCAAAAAGAAUGCCGAUGGUGACAUUAAGCUGGAAGAGUAUGUUAAGGCCUCCACGUAUUCUCGUAGGUGCUAUCUCAGAUAGGAAAAGAGGCACCGCCUGUGAUCCAAUAGAAAUUUUAAUUAUUAAAUAUAGUAACAACUGAACCAAAUUUGUCAAUUUCAUACAGAUUAUAGUAUGGUUAUUAAGGUUAUCAAAGAAUCAAGACAACAGAUGAAAAGUCAAAAUUGGUAAUUAGGACAACAUUUCAAUUUUCAGGAAAAUUAAAUUAUUAAAGAACCAGGACAGCAAAUCCCCUAAAGUCCAACCGAGUCAUUUUUAAAUUUAAGGUAGCUGUUAGGUGUGUUUCAAGGUGUACAUCAGCCGCAAGACUUGUCACACAGGAAGUCGAAUGUAAAGUCCAAGAAAUGACAAAGGGAUAGGAUUAAAAAAUUCAAAAUUGUCCACCACACAACCAAUGACAAAGGGAUAGGAUUAAAAUCCCAGAAUGUAUGGAAACCUUUGUUAAUUAUGGAUUUAAUAUUAAUAAUGAGUGAAAUUGUUUUUCACAUUCAACAAUUGACAGCUUGAAAUUAUAGUUCACAAAUACAGAUAAUUUCUAUUUUUAAUUUAUUUUUGGUAGUUAGGUGUCAAUCAACUAAAGUUUAAAUAUAAUUAUAUAAUGGAAAGGAUUAAAAAAAAAGGAAAAAGAAAAACCAACCUGAUUAGCAAAACCGACUCCGCAUCCGAGUAAAAUCCUGCCAAUAAUGAGCAUGGCAAGGUCUUGAGCAGCAGUAUGAAGAACUACACCAACAAUGAAGAAAAUCCCAGCAAUCAACAUGGUUGGCCUUCUUCCCAGCUUUCUUGUAGUGUAGGAUGCAAAGAAGGUUGCGAUUAAACCGGCCAAGUACAGUGACGAUGUGAACAAUUGCAGCCCUUGAUUAUCAUACUUGCAAUAGUUGCUGGUGAUAUUAGGGUCCUUUUUCUUGUCAUAUACGGGAGGGAAGAACUUUUUCAAGAAAUCUGGCAUGGAUGUAACCCCACCUGCAUCGUAUCAAACCAUAACUACAUUAAAUCUACCAAAUCUUUUUAUAUUAUAUUUAAACCUUUUUUAUAUCCUUCAAAAAAAAAAACUUUUUUGUAAGAAAAUGAACAUGGAUUAAAACAUUAAAAUUUACCUAUGGUUACAGGAACAUAUUAUUGUCGGGGUCUGUCUCUGUAACCAAGCAACAACCGCAACGAGAUCUCUCGUCAACGGUUGUGGUAACUAAAUUUCCAAAAAUACCUUUAUGUCGUUAAAUCAAGCAAGGGAUUAUACGGUAAUUCUAAGCCCAACACAGCCUUUUCGGCUGCUUUGCAAUCUACAUACAACUCCAUUUUGGCGGGACAGAGCGACGUGCCUUUUUUCGUUAUCCUUUUUUCCGUUUUUGAAAACUCUAAAAAAACAACAAUAUAUUUCUUAUCUUUCCUUUCUGGUUCAUUGAAGAAAUUAUUAAAUUUUAGCUAAAAAUGUAAUAUUAUUGAAAAAGAAAAGCAUAAUAACCUGAAACUCCAAUGUCGUAACCAAACAUGAGGCCACCAGUAGCAGCCAUUAUGCAAGAAAUGAUGACGAUCAGCGUUAUCUUCGACUCGAAAUGAACUCCUCUGGCCGACGCGGCCGCAAAACCUCCGGCAGGCAUGAUUGUCGAUCAAAAUCAAAACACCAACGAAACUUAAAACUCGAAGAAAAAAUCACUUGCACUAACUAUAUGUAUAUAUUUUUUUGUUUACUGUACAUGUAUAGAGUACCAUAUUGACAAAUUGAAUUGAAUUGUAAACGCCACCGUAUAGCUAUCUUAUAGUCAUAAUUUUGGAUUUUUGCAUUGACAUUCUAUGGUCAGUGGAAAAUUUAGAAAACGAUUUGCAACUUGUAGGUUUAGACUACACAAGAUCACAAGAAGCAAGUUGGUAUCUGAAAGCAUGGCAGUAUGUAUCUUCUUUCCUAUUUCCUUCAAAUGCUUUAAGGCCUUUUGAUUUUUCUAAAAUUGAUGGAUUUUUAUUCCACUUUAAUUUAAAGGGGCAAAGGAAAAGAAAAAAGAAAAAGGAAAAUUCACUAUCAAAGGGAUAAUAAUUUGAAAAGGAGAAAUUUUGAACCAGAGGAAGAAUAAAGUGCUUUACGCAAUUCUAUUUUCAUUUUCAAAGAAUCCAUCGGUUAGUUUACCGGAAAAUCAAGAAUAUUUUGCAUUACACAAAAUAAUAAUAAUUGAUCUAAUCUAAAAUAUUUUCGCAAAUAAAUUAAUAAGAAAUGUAAUUAUUUUUUAAAGGAAAACUGUGGAUUAAUUAGUUUAUCUUACGAUUGAUUCUGUCAACUGUAUCUUCGUCAUUGCUUUUAUAAAAUACUAAUAAUAGACAACAUGGCAUUGGCAAAAUAAUAUAUAUAUUAUAUAUAAUCUAAUUUGACUGUUUUGUAGAAACUAUCUGCAAUUUUUUUUACAACUGGGAAACGGGAUCAAAUCCAUUUGAAUGGCCAUUUUUCAGUUUGUGAUCACCAUUGAUUUCGGGCAGUCCCUCAUCAUCAUCCAUAAAUCUCCUCCAGAACCAAUGUUGCUUCCACACCCUUUCUGUCAUCUCUUCAAUAGGAAUAUUUUUGGUCUCCGGCAGCAAGAAAAGUACGAAAAAUGACAUGAUAAGCACCCAACCAGAGAAAAACAAGAAGAUACCAUACUUGAAAUGGCAGAGCAUGGAAAGGAAGGCCUGUGCUAUAGCAAAAGUGAAAAGCAAGUUGACACAAACAGUCACACUCUGACCGGCUGAACGAGUCUCCAGUGGAAAUGUUUCGCUUGGAAUGAGCCAUCCUAAAGGCCCCCAAGACCAGGCAAAGGCAGAAACAAAUGUGCACACCAUAAUCACAACUAAUAUUGCAAACCCUUUAUGAAGGUCUUUAGAAUGGUCUGUAACUUUAAUUCCUAAUACUAUUGCUAUUAUUACUUGAGAGAGAAACAUUUGGAUUCCAGCUUCCAGUAACAGCACUCGACGGCCUACCUUGUCCACUGAGUAAAUCGAUACUACAGUAGAAAGAACAUUCACUGCUCCUGUUAUGACUGCUGAAUAAAGAGAAGCAUCGCCCCCAAAACCUAAUGUUUUGAAUAGGACAGGAGCAUAGAACAUGAUUGCAUUUAUGCCAGUGAAUUGCUGGAAAAUCUGUUGCAAAAAUUAAGAUAAACUAUUACUAUUUUUUUUUUCUGGAUAGACAUAUGUGUAUUUGAACAUAUUUAGAUAAAUACUGACCUGCAAGGCGACUGCUAUAACCAACUGUGGCCUGUUUCUACGUUUGAGGAGAUUUCUGAAGGGAUGUUUUACUUCUUUUGCUAUACGGCUUGCCUCAACGAGUUCUUCAAAUUCUGGUUCAAUCCUAUCUGUGCCUCGAAUCCUCCUGAGAACAGAUUUUCCUUCUUCCAGUCGGCCACGCUCGAUAAGACUGUUAGGAGUUUCUGAUACUAGAAGAGCCCCUACAGUCAAUAGAAGAGCAGGAAUGCCAGCUAGUCCUAAUGAGAGUCUCCAUCCCCAUCCUCCUUUGAUUCUGUUUAUUUAAGACACACAGCAACAAUAGUCAGCAACAAAUUCAGAACAACCUGAUAAAGAAAAAAAAAAAUCAAAAAAUGGGAAUAAGCUCACUUUGCAGUUCCAUAAUUGACAAGGUUAGCAAAAAGAAUCCCGAUGGUGACAUUAAGCUGGAAGAGUAUGUUAAGGCCUCCACGUAUUCUCGUAGGUGCUAUCUCAGAUAGGAAAAGAGGCACCGCCUGUGAUCCAAUAGAAAUUUUAAUUAUUAAAUAUAGUAACAACUGAACCAAAUUUGUCAAUUUCAUACAGAUUAUAGUAUGGUUAUUAAGGUUAUCAAAGAAUCAAGACAACAGAUGAAAAGUCAAAAUUGGUAAUUAGGACAACAUUUCAAUUUUCAGGAAAAUUAAAUUAUUAAAGAACCAGGACAGCAAAUCCCCUAAAGUCCAACCGAGUCAUUUUUAAAUUUAAGGUAGCUGUUAGGUGUGUUUCAAGGUGUACAUCAGCCACAAGACUUGUCACACAGGAAGUCGAAUGUAAAGUCCAAGAAGUGACAAAGGGAUAGGAUUAAAAAAUUCAAAAUUGUCCACCACACAACCAAUGACUAGAAUCUGAAACCGAUAAUAUUAAAAUAAUAAAAAAAAAAGGACUUUUCAAAAGAAAAAAGGAAGAUGCAGAGGAAAUCGGGUUCUUUUGCCACUUUUUCUGGACACAUCCCAACUAAACAUCUCUUUCAUAUGAUCUCAUCUGAAAUAAAGCCAAUCAAGAAAAAAGGGGUCUCUGUCACAUGUAUAAAGCCUGAAAAACUAGAAUAUAUUAAAUCCAGGAAAUUAACAUAUAACUAUCUUUACCUCCUGUAACCAUAUCCCAAUAGUUUAAUUCAUGUUACCAAAAUUAAUAAACUUUGACAUUUUAACAAAUUAACUCAAAUUUUCUUACCAAACAUCGUCCCCAGAAUGUAUGGAAACCUUUGUUAAUUAUGGAUUUAAUAUUAAUAAAUGAGUCAAAUUGUUUUUCAUAUUCAACAAUUGACAGCUUGAAAUUAUAAUUCACAAAUACAGAUAAUUUAUAUUUUAAUUUAUUUUUGGUAGUUAGGUGUCAAUCAACUAAAGUUUAAAUAUAAUUAUAUAAUGAAAAGGAUAAAAAAAAAAAAAGGAAAAAAAAAAAAAAAAAGGAAAAAAAAAAAAAAAAAGGAAAAAGAAAAACCAACCUGUUUACCAAAACCGACUCCGCAUCCGAGUAAAAUCCUGCCAAUAAUGAGCAUGGCAAGGUCUUGAGCAGCAGUAUUAAGAACUACACCAACAAUGAAGAAAAUCCCAGCAAUCAACAUGGUUGGCCUUCUUCCUAGCUUUCUUGUAGUGUAGGAUGCAAAGAAAGUUGCGAUCAAACCGGCCAAGUACAGUGACGAUGUGAACAAUUGCAGCCCUUGAUUAUCAUACUUGCAAUAGUUGCUGUUGAUAUUAGGAUCCUUUGUCUUGUCAUAUACGGUAGGGAAGAACUUUUUCAAGAAAUCUGGCAUGGAUGUAACCCCACCUGCAUCGUAUCAAACCAUAACUAAAUUAAAUCUACCAAAUCUUUUUAUAUUAUAUUUAAACAUUUUUUAUAUCCUUCAAAAAAAAAAAAAAAAACUUUGUUGUAACAAAUUGAACAUGGAUUAAAACAUUAAAAUUAACCUAUGGUUACAGGAACAUAUUAUUGUCGGUGUCUGUCUCUGUAACCAAGCAACAACCGCAACGAGAUCUCUCGUCAACGGUUGUGGUAACUCAAUUUCCAAAAACACCUUUAUGUCAUUAAAUCAAGCAAGGGAUUAUACGGUAAUUCUAAGCCCAACACAGCCUUUUCGGCUGCUUUACAAGCUACAUACAACUCCAUUUUGGCGGGACAGAGCGACGUGCCUUUUUUCGUUAGCCUUUUUUCCAUUUUUGAAAACUCUAAAAAACAACAAUAUAUUUCUUUUCUUUCCUUUUCAUUUCUUUCCUUUCUGGUUCAUUGAAGAAAUUAUUAAAUUUCAGCUAAAAAUAUAAUAGUAUUGAAAAAGAAAAGCAUAAUAACCUGAAAUUCCAACGUCGUAACCAAACAUGAGGCCACCAGUAGCAGCCAUUAUGCAAGAAAUGAUGACGAUCGGCGUUAUCUUCGCCUCGAAAUGAACUCCUUCGGCCGACGCGGCCGCAAAACCUCCGGCAGGCAUGAUUGGCGAUCAAAAUCAAAACACCAACGAAACUUAAAACUCGAAGAGAAAAUCACUUGCACUAACUAUAUAUAUAUAUAUGUAUAUUUAUAUAUCAACUCUUCCAAUAACUUAUGUAACUGAGAGUUUGAGAAUGGAGAAGAGGAUAGGCUUAUAUCUUGUGAAGUGGAAAAUGGCAGGAUGAGGAGAGGAGCUUAUAUAGACGCGAUAAGAGAGUUAAAUGAAAUGACCGUGUGCAAUUUACGAAAUGGAUGAUGUUGGUGGGUACCACCGCCAGAUCUUCCACGUGGCGAUUCUAAGUUAUACUCUACCUUCCACGGCUAGCAGUCAACCAACGGCUCUAUCAGAUUCUCAACUCCCACCUUAAAAAAAAGUUUAUAAUAUUAUCUUAAGCCAUAGAUUUUGAAUUUCUUUUUAUUUAUAUUAUUAUUGUUAAUUUGAUUUUUGUGUGUGAAAUGAAACAGACAUCCAUAGAAUGUAAUUACGAGGGGAUGCGAUGGUGCCACGUCGUAAGAACAUGCAGUUUAAGAUUGAAUUGAUAGUCGGCUUAUUUUUAAUCAACAUCAAGAAUAAUUAAGUUAAGUUGGAAGAAACGUGCAGUUUUUUUAUUUUUAUUGUCAGUGAAAACAAGAACGAGAAUUUAAAAUAAAUAAAAUGAAACAAGAAAAGAAUAUUUGAAAAAUCAAAAUUGGAGGUUAUGCAAUUGACUUGCUAUUCCUUCUUUCUUAUUUUAUUCUUAUUAAUAAGACAAAUCUUGGAAGAUAGUAGGUUUUGUUUUAUAUGCUAUGAUAAUAACGUAAACAAAUGGACAUCAUAAAUCAGCUUAAACAUAAUGAAAUUAUAUUAAUUUUUCAAACGAUCUUAAGAUAUAUUCGCCUAGGGCAAUUCUGUAUAUUUUAAAAUAUUAUUUUUGGAGUUUAUUAUAAUAAUAUUUCGAUGCUAUUUGUCUAAGAAUAAGAAAAUCAAUCAGAAUAAAAAAAAUAAGAAAAUUGGAUCAAGCAAAUAAGGAAAGGAUCAGAAUCAGAAUCAGAAAAAUAAGGAAAUUGAAUAAGCAAAUAAGGAAAAUAUCAAACGCAAUUAUUGUAAAUAUUCUAUAAUAAUUAUAUGUUGUGUAUAUAAACUCUGCAAUUCACAGAUUAAAAGGAAUGAAAAAAGAAUUCUUUUUAACCCUAAAAGCUAUCAAUUUGAUCGAUUAACUUAAUUUCGAUAUAUAUAUUUUAAUAUAUAUAUAUAUAUAUAAAGGAAAACCAUCAAUUAAUUAGUUUUAUCAAUUUCAUAUAAUGUUUUGGACAAGUGAAGUGGUUUCCAACUCCUUAAUGGUAAUGUAAUAAGGUCAAUCCCACAUGGGAACCGUAUGAUAGCACUUUGUGGAAUUGUCAAUAUUUUUGUUUACUGUACAUGUAAUGUAUAGAAGUACCAUAUUGACAAAUGGAAUUGAAUUGUAAACGCCGCCGUAUAGCUAUCUUAUAGUCAUAAUUUUGAAUUUUUGCAUUGAUAUUCUACGGUCAGUGGAAAAUUUAGAAAACGAUUUGCGACUUGUAGUUUUAGACUACACAAGAUCACAAGAAGCAAGUUGGUAUCAGAAAGCACGGCAGCAUCUAUCUUCUUUCCUAUUACCUUCAAAUGCUUUAAGGCCUUUUGAUUUUUCCAAAAUUGAUGGAUUUUUAUUCCACUUUAAUUUAAAGGGGCAAAGGAAAAGAAAAAGGAAAAAGGAAAAUUCACUAUCAAAGGGAUAAUAAUUUGAAAAGGAGAAAUUUUGAACCAGAGGAAGAAUAAAGUGCUUUACGCAAUUCUAUUUUCAUUUUCAAAGAAUCCAUCGGUUAGUUUACCGGAAAAUCAAGAAUAUUUUGCAUUACACAAAAUAAUAAUAAUAAUAAUAAUUGAUCUAAUCUAAAAUAUUUUCGCAAAUAAAUUAAUAAGAUAAUGUAAUUGUUUUUUAAAGGAAAACUGUGGAUUAAUAAGAUUCUGUCAACUGUAUCUUCGUCAUUGCUUUUAUAAAAUACUAAUAAUUAGUUAUUGUACUAAAUUGGGAUAUGAUUGCAAUAUAGUUCAUGAAACACGUGCAACUGUUCAUAUUAUUUAAAAAGAACCAACGGAAAGAAGAAAAUAUAUUUUCUUUUUAAAAAAUGCCUUUGUUUGGGCUCACGCUCUAUUAUUAUAUAUGAUGAUCUUGCGUGCUAAUAGGACAGGGAAAUAGCGAAUUACUUCUUUUUUUUUUUUUUAAAGAAAUAAUUUUUCAAAAACAAAAAUUUCACACUGUCUAAACAUUUCGAAUCAUGUCGGUGUAAAUAAAAUUUAUGUGAAAAUACUGUUCGUUCCUGUUAUUUCAAUUUAUCUUAAUCAUUGAAAGACUUAAAAUAAUUCUACGCCUCAGCUCAAAAAAAAAAAAAAAAAAAAAAGGAAGUUUGAAUACAUAUUUGGAACCGACAUCCAGGCAUGAGGGAAUCCAUGUGAUGAGGAAAUGUUUUUGAAAAUUUUGUUCAAUCAUUAAUUUGGAAUGAUGAUGUAAAUAUUACGUUACUGAUGUGUAUAGUAUGAGAGGCUACCGAUAUUGACCAUUUUAGCUGUACAAUGCAGUGGAAGAAAAAGCUUGAGCUGUUAUAUUUUUAGAUAAGAAGAUACAUGCAAAGUAAUUAAAAAAAGAGCAAAAACGUGGUGCUAAUUAAAAGUUUGUAGGGGAAAUUAGUCAAAGAGAUGAAUAGCUAAGCUUAAUACAAUAUAAAAGAAAAGGAGACUGUCUGACUGUGUACUGAGUCAGACAAUUAAAAAUAAUAACAGCCACUGUAAAAUCUGACUCGGAAACCCACAAGAAAAUCAUGAUUAAAGAUCCAUGUUUCUCUUUGAAUAUUAGGGUUUCAACUGAUGGUGAUUGAGAAAAUGUAAGUGCUUCCUCCACAACUACUCAACUACUUCAUUUCAUUUCUCGUUCUUUAACUGUUUUCUUCUUCUCAUCUUAACACUGUCAACCAUGGAAUAACUAAUUAGCUAUAUAAUGGCUAAGAAUAAGCUAUUGGCCCUCAUUCAAACUAAAACAACUUUUCUUUCCAUAUACUGAUUGUUUAUAAAUUGUAACCGAAUGGAUUCAUUUCCAUGUUAUGAGCAAUAUCCAAAGAAAGAAAAUGCAUAUUGAACAAAUUUCUAUUUAUUAGAAAGGAAAAUGGAUGGAAAAACAAAUGAUUUAGACCUAAACUCAUGUGAGCAGCAGACUCAUCUUGAUCAAGGAUCAACCUUGAACUAUGGCUAAGCCAAACCAAUUCCACAACAGGAUUUUGAUAAUUCUUCUCUCAAACAAAUAGAUCUGCGAAAUUCAACUAAACCACAUACAAGCGCAGAGCAAAUUCUAGAAUUGGUAGAUAACACAGUAAGUUGUUGGAGAAAAGAAAUAAGGAAAAGAAAGACCGCUGAGAAUGGGUUUUUUUUUUUUUUUCUUAACUGUUUGGUCAGUUUGAUUACAUCUCCAUAUAUAAUACUAAAUUAACAAUAUUUUUCCACGUUUUUUAGGCUACGAUUUUAUUUUUUUUUGGAAAAUAUUUUCUUUUUUUUUUUUUUUUUUGAAAAGAAAAUAUUUUCAAUUUGUAGAUAGAAAAGCACUUGUUGAAUAUCCGCAAAUGUUUUUAUAACAUCAGAACAGAAAAACUUAUCCACAUGUUUAAUCCAAUCAUCACUAAUAGUCACCCAUAUUGUUCAUUAUUAAAAUACACACCAGCAAUGAAUCAUCAACAAUUACUACAAUUUAUUAUUAUUUUUAUAUACUUUUUCAUAUUUAAUAAUAAAAUUUUAAUAUGAAACUUUAUAAUUUUUCAAUUUGUUAUAGUGUUAUAAAUUUAAAAUUUUUAAUUAAUAUUCAGUAUUACAGUUAAAGGGAAAAAAAAACAUGUUAUUUGGAAAAUAAGUUAUUUACUACUGGGUAAGGGCUACAUGAAAUUUGUGAGCCCGAAUUGAUCUGGGCCAACAUUCUAAGCUUUUAGACAGAUUAUUAGCCGCGAAAAAUCGCCUUACGUGUACUGUUCUCGAAGUCAUAAAUUGGACGCUUAUGUUUAUAUUUUCUUUUGUCUAAUUUUCACUAACUAAUAUAUGCAAAGCAACUCAAAAAAAAAAAAAAAAAAAAUCUUAUUUCACCUUUGUAUAUGCAAUAAUUAAGUAAAAGUUGUUGAUAAUCUUCGAAAAGAAUGUAUUCACCAAUUAGCCUUCAAAUGUAAAAAUAUUAUAAAUUUAUCUUUUUACAAACCAAAUAAAAUUAAACUAGCGAUAAUCUGUCUAUACUCGAUUUAUGAGUUUACUUAUUCAUCAAACUAAUAAAAUAUAAUUUUUUAUUAGAACGAAUGUAUUUUUUACUGUUUAAUAAGAAAAUAAGAAUAAUUUAAAAAAAAAAACUCUAUUUUUAUAAACCAUAUAUAGGUAAAUCUAAUCCACUAGAUCGUAGAUUUCUCUUGGAUAACCCAACAAUAUUUAUCAUCAAAUGCAAUAAACAAAUGAUUUCCAAAAAAAAAAAAUCAUCAAAGGAGCUUUUAAUGCAGUAAAGAAGGCCAUAUAUCAUAGAUGAUAGAUGUCCUUUUCAUGUUAUGGAUAUUCCAAUGAAUUUUUACUUUAAGAACAUGGAAUUGGGGAAGGAAUUACAUUUUUUUUUUGCCUUUUAUAGUGUUUUAUUUGGCAGAGUACAUUUGCUUUAUUUGGGCUUAAGAAUUAUAAAUUUAUUGCAGGUAAAAACUUAGAAUACAAGUCAUAUUUGGAAAUGUUAGAGUCACAUAUUUGUAAUUUAUGUAACAUAAACAAGCAGUGAAUUUAGAUUGAUUGUAUGUCAGUGAUUAUCAUGUGCAGUUCAGUAACCUAAUAAGCAGUAGGAGUUGAUUUUUUUAUCAUAAACAAGAAGAAAGAGACCCCACUUAUUAUAAUGACACGCUAUCAACACUUGGCCUUGUCAUAGCUUCUUGUGUCACCAUCUGACCAAAAGAGUGUGUGGUGUGUUGGCUAUCUAGUGACAUAAAUUUUACUGCAACUCAAGCAAAUUAACUGAUUUUUUUUCUUUUUUUCUUUUUUUCUUUUUUUUUUUUUGAUGUUCUCCUCCAUCAAAAAAUCAAAAAUAAAUAAAUAAAAUGAGAAAAGAGUAAUUGCAUAUCAAAAAAGUGGAAUAUAAUUAGGACAAAAUUUGUCCUAACUACCUAUUUGCAUUGCCUACCCCAUAAAUCAUAAUGUACCAUCUAUUGGAUUUUAGAUUUUAAUCACAUGUUCCAUCCAAAUAUUAUUUCUGCAUAUCUUAUUAUAUUAUAUUAUAAUAUGAAUCAUGUUUUACGGGAUAAUGUUUUUUUUUUUAAAAGUUACUCUGCAGUAAUAAAUUUAUUUUCAUCUCUAGCUAGUUCUAGAUUAUAUGAAUUAGGAAUUAAAUUGAAUUUUAUAUUUCCAUAUCAUGUAUUUUUUUUUUAAAAUUGCUUAUUUAUUAUUAAAUGGUAGAGAGUUUCAUCACAAUUCAAGAGUGACUAAUUAAUUAAUUAAAAUACUUUUUUUAAAAAAAGAAUUUAUUAAGAUACAUAGUUUUUACUAAAUAAAUGUAUUUUACUGUAGAAAAUUAAUAAAAAAAAGUACACAUCUCAUUCAAAGAAAAAUAAUAAUCAGGUGUCCAGCUGAGGUCUUAAUUACUGAAGUGAUUUUGUAAUGAUUGACGAUCGUUACUUUUAACAAAUAUGGAAAUGGCAAUUUGUGAAAAUAAAUCAUUGAAAUUAAGCAGUUAUUAUUUAAAAUAAUAAAUAAAAAAAAUUAAAAAACAUAGUUUGAAUUCUUGGUUGGGCCAAAAGCUUAAAGAUAUGAUUGGUGGGGUGGCAUCACAAUACGUCACCGUCAAGGCCACAUUAGAUUUACUGUAAUCAUAAUGUUUUUGUUCAACUUCUUAAUAUCAUUUGUCAUUAAAAUUAAUUUCUGGAUAGUGACUGUUUUUCCUUCGGAUUGCAUUCACAAAGAUGUGAUUUGUCCACAUACGCCUUCUUCACCAUUACUUCUUAGGUAACAAUGCAUUUAAUAAUUCCUUUCUUACCCGUUUUUAAUUACUUCUUUUCUAAAAUUUAAAAGGGAUUAGCGACUCUCAAAUCUAAGUAAUUGCCGUUUUUUUUUUUAAUAAAACUGAAAAUUUAUUAAUAAAAAAAUUAGUAUAAGAAAAUUAUAAUAUGCAUAGAAUAGGAAUGAUACAAUAAAUAUAAACAAUUGAAUUUUUUUUUAUUUGGAGAUUAUUGUAGCAAAAAAAUUAAUAUUUUUUUAACUAUAAUGUAAUGAAAUGUAAUAUAAUCCAUAUGAUAAGCAUUUUUAAAUAUAAAUCCCUCUAAAAAAUCAACAAUUAUUCAACACAAAAACUAAAAAAUCUAAUUUUUCUUUUCGCUAUUGUACCAUUCAUUGUAUUUUAACGAUCAAUAAUUUAAAAAUCAUGGUAUAUGUCUUUUUCUUUUUUUUUUUAAAAAAAAAAAGAUUAGGAUGUCGAUAUUUGAAUAAUUAAUAUUGUGCAUUACAAGAUUAAUGAUAAUCUUCUCAACAAAAAAAUAAUAAUAAUAAUAAUAAUAAUAAGAGGAGGAGGAGGAGGAAAAUGAAGCAAUGAUGGGCCUGAAUGGUCCAUGAACUUUUUAAGCCUCACAAGCUUUUUAAAAUUUUUAAAUUUAAAUCCUUUUAAUUUAUGCGUGGUCCAUGUAAUAUUGUAAUAUACCUGCUGUCACCGAACUUUCCCCUGGACGCCCACCUUUUAGUUGAGGAGUGGACCUAUGUUUUCUAUUCCUUUCCAUUAAAAUAAUGAUUUUUUCUUUUUAGAUUCAGAUUUAAUCCCUAAAUCGCAACGCUUAAAAAAGUAAUUCCAAAACAAUUACACAUAAUUUAUUAAAAGCAUACAUUUUUUAAAUGGAAAUUUAAAAAAAUUUAAGAAUUAUCUUUUAUAUGUCAUGUUAUCAAUUAGCUAAUUAGAUACAUAAUAAAAAUAAAUAUAUUGCUUAAAACAAUUUAAUAUGUAAAUAUAUUUAAUAUACACAUAUGGGUCGAUGGUUAUAUACAGAUCAGAGCAAAAUUAGAUUUUAAUUAUUAGAAAAUAGAAAUUAAAAAAAAAAAUUGAAAGCAGAAUAUGGACACACUAGAAGGGUUCUUUCCAAAUAAAUAAACAAUACUGUAAAGCAAUCACACAACAAAUUUCGUUUUAUUUAUUUAUUUAAAUCUAAUAACUCUAAUUAGUAAGUAAAUUAAUAUGUAAUUAAAUACAAAAUUUGAAUUAUAAAAUUAUAAAUAAAUAAAAAUGUGCAUAUAAUUCAAUUUCAAGACCCAUACCAUGGAGUAUAUUUUCCCCCGUCGAUUCUUCAUCAUGGACAAAAAUUGCCAACAAAAUUACGAAAUGAACCUCAACCAAUCACUACAUGCCACUAGAUGGAAAAAUGAAACGAAAAUUCAUUGAAGAAGACAAGAUAACAACUCUAAUAUCACCAUCUUUUUUUUAUUAUUAUAUAAUAAAUAAAUAAAUAAAUAAAUAAAAACUCCAAUAUCACAACUUUGCACUUUCUCUAGUACUGCACGUGGGUUCAUUCCACGUGGCACAUCCUACGUGUCCGAUUAAGAAUUUCCCAAUUUAAAAAAAAAUGAUCCUCUUGCUUGGAUCCUGUGAUUUAAAUACUAUAAAGAAUUGGGGUAUAUAGUAUAAUAAAAAUAAGGCACGAGAAGGCUUGUCUUGAGCCACUAUCAUAAAUAUAGUUUUCUCUAUAUGUAUUGAAUAAAAUAAUAAUAAAUAAGCAACAAUCAUGGUAAGGUUAGGUCAAAGAAAUCCAAAUUUAAUUCCAGUACAGGCAUAAAACAAAAACCUAACAAUUUUUAUUAUUAAAAAAAAAAAAUUUUUGGUUUCAUGUGGGUUAGCGAAUAGAAGAAGGGAGGGGUUAGGUCCAAUCGGUAGCAUAGAUAAGAUCAUAAGAUCACAAAUAGAAAAUAGCAAGGUUUGAUUAUUAUAAGAAAAACAAAACAAUGUGGUGAUAAAGUCACUGUAUGAUACCACACGCUUUGUCCCACUUUGUGGACUUUUUUUCCAUUUCUUCUUUUUUUUUUUUUUUUUCUUCCUUUUUCAUUGUUUAAGCUUUUUUAAUCUUUAAAGGUUGCACAGUCAAUCAACAUAUUAUAACUCUGAAAUUAGGGUUGUGCAAACACACGAUCGAAAAUCAAAACUGAAAUUUUCUUGAAUUGGAAAUAAAUUCGAAAAUCGAAUGGUUUAAUAGACAUUAUUUUUGUCAAAUGGUUCAAUUUAUUAUUAUUUUAAAUGAUUUAACUGAUUAAUUUUAAAAUCUAAAAUCACUGUUAUUUUAAAAGAUUUAUUUAAGGAUAAAGAUGUCAAUUGAAAAAUAAGGAAGUAAAAAUUUAAAUUUGAAAAAAUAAAAUUCUCAAAUCUUGAUCGUCUUGGACCCUAUGAAGCGUGUGAAACAAAAAAGAUUACUUUAUUUAUAAAUAAUAAAAAAAGUCCCAUUAGGAAAUGUUUUAAGAAAGGGUCCAGGUUGCUUGCAUGCCAGCGUGUAAAUACUUGGUGGACCUUUUUUAAUCUAAUCACUAUAUUUUUAUAUGACCAUGUAUAGAUAUUCUUAUUGUAAAUACCACACCCUAAAUUUUGUUGGCAUUAUAUUAAUAUCUUACGUGGCAUUUUCUAUUUGUUAAGAAAUCUAGAUUAAGCAAGAUUCUAUAAAAUAGUAUUUCUUAGUUGUCUGCCAAUAUCAAUAAAGAAAUGUUAAUUGUAUUUUAUUCAAAAUAAUUAAAUAUUACCAAGUAAAUAGUUUAGCAAAAAAAGAAGUAAGAGAUAAAAGUCAUCACCUAUGCGCUUUGUAAUCCUCAAUUUCUUUAAUUUAUGUUUAUCAGCAUUAUUAAUGUUGACAUAUCUUUUUAUGGAUUUGGUCAAAUGGAUCAUAUUAAACCCAUCUAACUUAUGUGUAAAAAUGUGAAUAAAUUAUUAAAAAUCUAUUAUUAAUAUUUUCAUCCACUUUUAUUUUAAUUAUUUUGAUUCAUUUGACAUUCAUUAGUGGAAAAAACAUCUAUCAACUGUAAAAUAAGAAUGACCCAUUUAAUUCACUAAAGUGAUAAAAUUUUUAUAAUAAAAAAUGUUCGAAUAUGAGACUUCCAGCUCUACAUAAAUAGAAAAAUGAAUAAGACUAUACCUCAUUGAUUUUAUUUUUUAUUUUUACUUAAUUGUACUCUAUUAGUGGCUCCGUUAUUAUAAAAUUAUGAAUGUAGAGAAUAUGCUUAUUUGGGAUAUUAAAGUUAAAUAUUUUAGCAAUAUUUAUAUAUAUAUAUUUUGAAUUUCUACGAUUCUAAUUACCACCAACAAUGUGAUUAUUUUAAUCAUAUUAUUAUAUUAAGCAAGACAAUGAAUAGAGAAAUAAUAAAAUAUUUCAUGUGCCUAGAGUCUUAGUAAGACGGGCAAGCCCAACAUUAAACAAUAGGGAUUCUUAAUAAUAAUAAUAAAAAAAAGAACAAUAAACAAUAGGAAUGCCCUCCAAGUGAUACUUAAAAUAUAAUAUUGAUUAAUAAAUUGCAAAGAUCAAGUAAUAUGCUUUUAGACAAUAUCUUAUCAAUUAAUUAAUCAUUACAACCAAAAAAAUAGGUAUCAGGUUAUGGUCCGAUUAUCGAACUCUUAAAUCGGUAGUUUUGGUUUAAUGAAAUACGAAUCAAUCUUUAACGUUUCAUUUCAAUUUCAAUUUAAUUGGUUUUAAUUCACGUUUUGUGGAAAUUUUUUUGAUAUAAUUUUUUAUUUUCAAUCUUAUUUUAGUUGGACGCUCCUCUAGAUUGGACGCGUGGCCACCCUUUAAUCUAAUUGUUGGCUUCAUAUGUUAAAAUAUAUUAUUUUAAUAAAUUGAAAUACUAAUUACUCCACCGACUUUUACUACCAAAAAUUAAAUAUAUAUUUUGAUGUCCGACGUGGACAAAAAUUAAGUUUGAACCUCUCCUAAAGACUAAAAUAAAGGAUAUCUAAUUAUAUUUAUAUACGUUUUUUCAUAUUAUCAUUUUAUAUGAAUGAAUAAACUGAUCUCUAUAUUUAAAAUGAAAUCAUAAUUAUUGAAAAUGCCCAUAAUUAAUUAUAAAUCAAAUCAAAUUACAAAAGAUAGUACCAAUGUUAUAUUUCGUAUUUGGAAUUUUAUUUAUUUUAAUGUUUAAAUAGAAAAUAUUAUUAUCGAGUGUCUAGAUUUUUUAAAAUUGACACUUAUUAGGUAUUUCAUAUUUAGAAAGGUAAUUCAAAAUUUAAAUGGGACAAAAUAGGUUCCAUAACUGUGUUGUUGUCAUCUCAUUUUAGGUGAUGUUUGGUUAGUAGUAAGUAGGCUAGGGAAGUAUAAUUCGCUGGAAAGUGUAUAAAAUAUUUGUAUUCGAUUUAUAUUAUAAAUUUUAUUUCUCGAAAAUUAAAUCGUUCAACUUCCUUUAUACAAUAAAAGUAAAUUUAUUAGAGAAAAUUAAGGAAGUUGCGCCAACGACUUUACCAAUUUAUCAUAUUAUCUAAACAUACUAAAAUUUAUAUUAUAGACCUUAUUGUAAUUUGCACUUUGAAAGUAAUUUAUUUCUCAAAAAAAUUUGAUAAGUGAAUGAAGAGUAAACUCAUAUUCCAUUAUUUCGUUUAUUUUCUUUGUCAAUUACACUUUACACAAACUUUGGAGAUAUCAUAUGUGAGAUCGCCUUCUACGAAGUCUCUAAAGAUCGAAUUUAGUUAAUAAUCUCUUUCAAUUCUAUAAUUUCCUAAAUAAGUAAUAUUCUAUUUGUAUUUUCACGUUAAGCUUAAGAAGUCGAAUUUUUUAUGUGAUUAGGGUUAAUAAUUAAAUAAAUUUAACCCUUCUCAAUUCUCAUGUGAAAUUCAAACAAAUAUUACAUUCACAUCGAAGAGAGGAGGCAAUUUAAUUUGUUUAUAUUUCAAAGCAACCAUAAAUGAAGGAUAAAUAAAAAAUUUUAAUUGGUAUUUUAAUGAGAUUUAUCAUGCCAAACAACAUGAUAUGCGAAUAAAGAAAUCUGAAUUUUCUUUUAUUUAUUUUAAUAUUAGAUAGUAUUUAAUUGUUAAUUUAAAAAAUUUAGACACUCGCUAAUAUUCAUUGUCCGGAGAUCAAAAUAUAAAAAAAAUCCGAAAUUUUCAACACCAAAAAUAAUAUUUAUCCAAAAAAUAGAUAAGAAACAAUUUUAGAAAGAUUGAUUGGGUUGGAUUUUCGGAAUGGAAAAAUGUCCCAUCUAGAGGCGGUACAUAUACAUUGACGGCUAGGGUUAUACACACGGUCACAACGGCUGCCACAGGCAGUACUGUAGACUGUAGUGACGUAGCAACGUGAUCGUACACGUGGCGUGUUCUCAUGGUUUCACGUUAGCGAGGGAAUGAAAGGGCCCUUCAACCCCAUUUUGAUAAAAAGGGACAAAAGGAACGGGGGGAUCAAUUAUGGUGGGUCAAACCCAUUUAAUGUGGCCCCAAUCUGACGUGGCCACAAGGGUCUCUUAAAAAUUAUUUCCUUUCUCACGGUUAUGGAUACAGUGACCCGAGUUGGUUGGCAAAUUUCCUACUACCACAAUCAAAUAUUCCUGUCAUCUCAUUUAUUAAUAUACUUUAUAUAUCUAACUCACCGCACGUAACUCUAUCCUUUCUUCGUCAAGGUAAGAUUUUUACCGGCUCGUGAGUGGGAAAAGGUCGAAGGGAAGGGGGCGGGAGCGAUUAACAAGAUCCAAAGCGGGCGACGAAUAAGUAUACGUGUCAAACAACACCGUGACACGUAAUGAAGGGGGCGUCGCCACGCUGGAGUGCUACUUUUUAAUUCAGUGCACUUGGAUGUGAAUUCCGCGAUGCACGCGUGGAUUAAAAGCAGGAAUAUUUUUAUAUUAUAUUUAUAUUAUAUUUAUAAAUUAUAUUGUAUAAUAUCUUAUGUUGUCUGGUUACUUUUAUCCAGGUCACACUUCUCUUUUAAAACUGAAUAUAAUAUAAUACUACUGUACAACAUUUUAUUUUAUUUUCAUUAACCGCGCGGUGAAAUUUGACCGGGGAGUAGGUUCUAGCUGGGUGGGUUCCCUUUUUAUGUGUACAAGGUGGGACCCAACACACGUCACCAAUAAGCUGCCACCAUCUUGCGAACGUGAAAAUAAGGCUAACGCGAUGAAAAGAAAUUUCAAGAUGGGGAGGGGCAGCUAAUAUGUGAAGGGACCCACAUUUCUCGGAAGUUCCGUGACCGUGACUCUAGUUUCCUGAACAGGCUCUGCAUGGAUCUUAACCGUUGGAUGGAUGAUAGGAUUGAGAUAAACGGCAGAUAUCUGGCUCACUGAUCAACAUGAGUGCAAUCGAGCCUCUUGGUUCGCUGCCAGCUCGGAUUUUUUUGCUGGUUGGAAUCUGGGUUGUGGGAUUUGUUUAAUUGAUGCUCUGGCCACGUCAGACUAAAAUCCAACGGUGCAUAUGUUUGAUCUUACUCAUUAUGCUAGAUCGCAUCCAUCGAAUUCUCUAAAUUUGGUUACUUUCACGUGGGGUCCACCUGUCUUUUUUUGGAAAUAUACUGUAGGUUGCUCUCAUCCGUAAUAAUUAAAUCUAAUAAUAAUUUAUAUAGAAAGUAAAGAAACGUGGAACCGAAAUAAUGGAGUUGACCGGUUGGAACGAUAUUUUCUGCGGUCACCUAGAUUCCUUGUGAUCGUCAUGUUGCUUUACCAAGGUCUCAGUUACCGGCUAUUGCCGGUGACGACAUCUCUUUGGGAAAUUCAAGGGCUGUUAUUAUUAUUUUUUUCUUUUGUUUCAAAUUUUGAUCGCGAUUCGUGGGCUGCGGUUUGUUUUUUUUUUUUUUUUCUCACUCAUCGUCUAGCAUAGUACAAAUUUAGUAUUAAUUUAAUUAUCGACUAAUCAGUUUUUUAUUUGUUGGAACAAAAUAAUAAAAUACUCAAAUAGGUAGUGAGGAGUAAACAUGGAAGCUUGAGGAGGAAGGAAAAAGGUUAAUACGUGGCGGAAUUAUGCAGAAAAGUUAAAGAAAUCACAGGAGCAAUAUUGUUUGACGGUCUAGAUUUUGCCAUGCUGGUUUUAGCCAAUGGCUUCCGUUGGAUUCGUCCUUCAUCCAACGCCUCAGAUGAAUCCAUGUAAUACACUAAACAAAUCGCGGCCGUCCAAUUAAGGCCAGAGCGGGUUUGGCUGAGAGUGAAAUAGCUAAAAAGAUGAGGGAAGAAGAUGUGAGCACAAAAAGAGGACAGAGGAAGAUUUGAGGAGAGAGAGAUACUGAGAGAGAGAGAGAGAGAAGGGCACGGUGGAGGAGUAGGGUGAAGAUAAGUUAAGGGAAGAUCUUUUAACACUGCUUCAUUGAAGAUUGUUGAUUGUAAAGAAUCAGCUUAAGAAGGCUGAAAAUAGGUCUAAAUCUGCAAAUUCCGGUGACCUACCCUCCGUUUCCGGUUAAUAAUGCUCUGGUGAUGAGAUAUAAAAAUAAUACCCUUCUAUUUAUAACGGAUUUGUUAAUAGAAAAGCAUAACGGAGAUGGAGAGAAAUAGAGAAGCUAGAAGAGUCAGUAUGGCCGCUACCAAUGGUUUAACAUCUAGAAGGCGACACAGAAGCGGUAGCCUAAGAGACUCUCCAGGUUCAAAUUUUUUUUUUCAAUCAGAUCUAAGCUCUUUGAUUCUGAUGAAACGUUGUCGUUGCAAUUAAUUUUUAACUGGAUUUUGUUUUCUUAUUGCAGAGGAUGAUGGUCCGAUAGAGUUGCAGGAAACUGCGAGGCUACGAGAUCGAGGGACGGGGAAAAAAGAUCGAGAUCGGGAUCGCGACAGAGAUAGAGACAGAGAGCGAGACCGAGACCGAGACCGUGAUAGAGAGAGGGACAGGGACAGAGAUCGGAUGAGCAGUAGGGGUAAGAGGAGAAGAGGAGACAGGUUGAUGCACGGGAGCAAUAGAGAAGAUGUAGGCGAUGAGAGCUCGGAGGAGAGUGUAAAUGAUGAUGAAGAGGAGGAUGACGAUGAUGGUGGUGGUGUAGGUAGCUCUAUGAGGAUGCUUCCGCCAAAUCCUUCGUCCCUCUCUUCAUCUUCUUUGUCGAACCAUCACCAUCGGAAAAGCUUUCCGCCGCCUACCAAAGUUUUUAGAGCCGCUCCGGCGACAGCUCCAUGGAAGGCACCCGAUGAGAUGAUUGGUGUGUCGGUGCCUAGAAAAGCUCGGUCAGGUAGAGAGGUGGAAGAGAUUUAAAUAGGAAAAAAAAAAACAAGUUUGAGAUUUUUUGUGGAUAGCUUGUGUAUUUGUAUUUUUAUCUCCUCGGUCGGAUUGGGGUUUCAGGAUUAUUGAUAUGAUUUUGUUUGUUAUUUUGAUUUUCAGCAUCUACGAAGAGGUCUCAUGAAUGGGCUUCAAGUUGUGGAGUUGGUGCCGAGCAAAUUCACCGGCAAGCUUCUACGUCUCCGGUGAGAUCGACUGGACCAAGCGUUGCAGCGAUGCUGGCUUCAGCAUCGGCCUCUCCAGCUCCGGUCUCACCGUCUUCUUCUAAUGUUUCUGUUAAGAAGAAGAUGGUCAGUCCUGGAUAUUAAUCUAUAUUCUAUGGUUUUGAUUUUGUGUUUCUGGUUCAAUCGAGUAAGAAGUGUUUUUCUUCUGUUGUAGAAGCCUAAGGGACCGAAGCAGAGACCGCUAAAAUCUUCAUCUAAGUUCACUGUGAGCACAAAAAGAGGACAGAGGAAGAUUUGAGGAGAGAGAGAUACUGAGAGAGAGAGAGAGAGAAGGGCACGGUGGAGGAGUAGGGUGAAGAUAAGUUAAGGGAAGAUCUUUUAACACUGCUUCAUUGAAGAUUGUUGAUUGUAAAGAAUCAGCUUAAGAAGGCUGAAAAUAGGUCUAAAUCUGCAAAUUCCGGUGACCUACCCUCCGUUUCCGGUUAAUAAUGCUCUGGUGAUGAGAUAUAAAAAUAAUACCCUUCUAUUUAUAACGGAUUUGUUAAUAGAAAAGCAUAACGGAGAUGGAGAGAAAUAGAGAAGCUAGAAGAGUCAGUAUGGCCGCUACCAAUGGUUUAACAUCUAGAAGGCGACACAGAAGCGGUAGCCUAAGAGACUCUCC